GUCUGCAGGGAAUUGUUAGACCACCCAUUGGAUGAUCAAAUCCAAAUUCUUGUUCAGCCUCACUUAGCAAGUCUUGGCAUGAAGGUUGGUUGAGGUAUGAUACAGGAAUGAUAAACCGCUGUCUCUCGUUCUCCGCAACAUAAACCGCUAAAUAACCUUUUGGGACAUCUGCUAAAUUAUAUGAACCUGCUCGACUUGAAUUUGAAAAAGACCGCCGAAGAAUUUUCUUUGCAUGAGUUACACUUGGACGACGGAAACCCAUGGUUUUAUGUCUCUCUAGAGAAAUGUCCGGUGGAAGUUUAUCGGAGCAAGAAGAAGACAAGAGUUGAGAAUAUGCAGAGACUUGAAUGGAAGGCAAUCAAAGUCUCAGGAAAUAUAUAUCGUUAAAGUUUUAUGUAGUAAUUGUCCUCUGUUGAAAGAAAUAUGUGGUGACAAUUAAAGCCAUCUUGAUAGGGCAUAGAAGGGACACUGAUCACAUGGUGCUGUUUUCCAGCUCAACUUCAAUAUUUUAGGUGAAAUAUUGCUGGACUGAAUGCAGUACCAACACAUGUACAGUCUCAAUCACCACCAAUGUAUUUUGAUAAGAUGAUGAAUUUGAAGACAGAGCCACGUGAAAUUGCAAAUGCUUCUGUCUUUAAUUAGAAUUUAUUUUUCUUCGAUCCCAUUCAAUUUCCUGCAGACCACUCACUCAAACUUUCUUGUAACAUUAUGCUGAUUGUUAGGAUUACCAGUGACCUUGUCGGCAUAUCUUCCGAACACGAGUAGGACAUUAUGCUUUAUUUUAGUUUCAAUACGUUUUCAGUUUAUGCAGUUAUUAAGAGAUGUAGCUGUAGGGUAAUGUGAUUCUUCAUUUCUGCUCAUACAUUUUUCUUGAUUAGUUGAAAAGACAAGUCCAUGUGAUUUUCCAUGAGAAAAUAACUCGCACUUGGCUCCACCACGAUCCUUCACUAAUCGUAUUUUUUUUGCUUACCUGAUGUCCUUGAAAAAUUAGAACACAUAGACGUAUGAACAUAAUUGCUUGAGCAGCUGAGUCUCUGGCCAAUCCGCAUUCAAUUGCUCUCUCCAACUUGUACACAUUAUUUUGUAGACCAACGUAUCAAUUUUUCGUACCUAUAUCCUAACCAAAGAGAUCAAGUCCUCACAUUUUAUAUGCUAAAACUGUUGAAAUAGUACCAAGGGAAAAUUUCUUGUCUCAAGCAUGUCUCUGUUUUUUUAUAGGCCGUCAACUAAGAGAGGCAGGACACUGGGUUUCUUUCAUUUGGUCAUCGACUCGUGCAGUGUUGUUGAUAACUUGUAGACAAGUCCAUGUGAUUUUCCAUGAGCAAACUCUCUCUCACUUGGGUCCAUCCCAGUGCUUCAUCACCAAUCAUUUUAGGUAACUGACUGCUUGCAGCAUACCGCUUUAGCUAUAUAUGCACACAUCAUCCAAGGUUCAGGAGCAAACGAACACAAGUCUUCUACUCCCAAGCAUAUCUUAUCAAAGCACUUUCUGUCCUGAAAUUCAUUUGAACUCUUUAUUGUUCCUUAUUAAAGAAAUUUUAAAACCAUGGUUUUCCAAUUUCCUGGUAUUGUACAUGCCAACAAAAAUCAAGUUUCUUCAAAGUCAUUGGAUGUUCCAAAAGGCUAUCUUGCCAUCUACGUUUGGGAGAGCCAAAAGAAGAGGUUUAUUAUUCCGGUGUCCUACUUGAACCAACCUCCAUUCCAAGAUUUGUUAAGCCUAUCUACUGAGUAAAAAAAAAAACUAGGGACCCAAGCCGUUUGGAAGCUACUGAGUCAAUGUCCAUGUUAUUAGAGAAGCACGAUGUCCACUAUCAGCAGCUGUAUAGAUGUAACUAAAACUGACUGACAAUAUCUCCCACCUUUAAGAUAAUUCCCAAGCUAAUUAGAUCACAGACAGGCUUAUUGAAGGUUCAACGUUUCUUUCAUUCUUCUGUUUUGUAUGGUGACUCAUAUACAUCUCCUACAUCAAGUAUCAAUAAAAAGUUGGGAGUCGUAAUUGGAUAUAUGGAAAAGAAUAUAUACUCAUACAGAAUUUCAUUGUGGAGUUGUUCGAAUGAAAAAUUCGCAAUUUCCUCUACCAAAUGACAUACUAGUCAUGCAGAGAAAACUUAGGUCUGUUGGGGGGACUAUACUUAACAUCUUAGUAUUCGUAUAACUAUAAAAAGGAUCCUAAUGGGAAACUAAAUCACAAAAGAAUCUGAAGAAAUAAAUCCAAGAUUGUACAAGUUACAUCUUUUUUCCUUCUCCCUUUGUUGAAAGAAAACAAAAUUACUACUUAUGCAUGGUUAAAUCAGACGGUUCAUCACACAACCAAGAAAUGUUUUGUUGGUCAUUAACUGAAGACAACACCAAGCAGCAGCAACACACCCGGUCAUAUAAUCUAAAGCGAUGCUUUAUAAAUUAUAAUGUAAUAAGCUAUGAAUAUUGCUACAGUCUCCAUUUAAGAAUUUAUAUAAUCCGAUUCUGAGGGAACAAUAUUUCUUCCUCGAUUGAAAAAAAUGUACAAAAUCUAGAAAUUGUUUUGUUUACAAAAUUGUAACAAUCGCACAGUUCGUGUAAUUGUUCUCCACAAUCCACCACUCUAUCAUACUGCACUCAAGCGAGAUAUAAGUUCAAGGAAAGCAUCUUGUCUGCAGGGAAUUGUUAGACCGCCCAUUGGAUAAUCAAAUCCAAAUUCUUCUUCAGCUUCACUUAGCAAGUGUUGAAAUGCAGGCUGGCAGAGGAAAGAUAUGGGAACCACAAAGCGGUGCUUCUCACUCUCACCAACAUAAACUGCAAAAUAACCUUUAGGGACAUCCGAUAAAUUAUACGAAGCUCCUUCACUUGAAUUUGAAGAAGACCGUCGAAAAAGUUUCUUAGCAGGAAUUACAGCAGGCAGACGGAACCCCAUUGUAGUAAAUCUUUGGAGGAAAGACUAGCAAUAGAGUAUAAAAACUUGAAGAAGAUCUCAAGGGACGAGCAACUGCAAAACAAUAAAGCUAUAUGCUUGAGAACUUGAAGAUUCAUAUGGUUUAUAUAAAUGAAAAGUAUUGUGGAAUAUCUUCUACUAAAGAAAAAAUAUAUGGUAAAGACAAUGGCAAUCUGGAUGGGGUAUAGAAGGGAACAAGAGCUCAUCAGUGUUCACAUGGUUCUGCCUUCAAACUAAUCAAGCAUUUUAGGCAAAAUAUGUGGAGCCUCGAUUACUACCAAGGCUUGUGAUGAAUUGGAAGACAGAGCCAUGUGAACUUUUAAAUGCUAAUAUCUAUUGCCAAUCAAUUGCCUGGAGAACACCCACACGGCCCUUCACGCCAACUACUAGAGAUUUUUUUUUCCGACACAGUCAUCGUUUAGUUGGAUAUGGAAACUUAUUGCUAUGAUAUAGUUUAACCACAAAUAAAUUUUAUUGGGUCCACAUAUAUAGUAUGUUGAACUUGCAACCUGCAAAAAAACUCCUGUUUUCUGCUUGUUUCUGAUUUUAUACUAGUCAUGUAUCUAUUCUUCCGAAAGGAUUCAAUUAUGCAAAUUUUAAUCUGUUGGCAUCGUGGUGCCUCAAUGAUUUUCCAUGAGCUAGUCUCUCUCAUGGUACCAUCGUGGUGCCUCCAGGAUCACCAAUAAGUCGUUUCAGAUAAUAUAUGGUUUACGGCGAUACACAUUUAUCUCUAUUUUUACAAUUCAACUGAAAAUUCUAGUGUUGCUCAAUUUUUUCAUUAAGAAAUUUUAAACGAAGGGCUUCCCGUUGCCGGGCACUGUUCAAUGUUCAUGCUAAGAAAUUCGAAGUUUCCUUAAAGGCCUUGGAUAUUCCUACAUGAGAAGUAUAAUGUAUUAUUAUUUUUCAUUCUGCAGGAUAUAUAUAUAUAUGUAUAUAUAUCUUAUGUUUGGGUUCUAGUGAACUCUUAUGUAUUUGUUCCUUUCUUUCCAUCACCAAUCAGUUUUGGGUGUAUCUUAGGAUUGGGGCGUGAUACCUCAACUGUGAUAAAUCAAAUGUAAUAACUAAGGAGAGAGUUGUUAGUCUAUCACCUUGUAUCCUGUGCCAUUGAUUCAAUACUUUGUAUCCAUACAAUCUCUAUUAAGAGGGGGCGUUGAGGGGGAGCGAAAGGUGUAGUCGCACAGGUCCCCAAAUUUGAAGGAGCCCUUAAAUUUUUGUCAUCUAACAUCAUGUAAUAUGUUCUAUAUUUAAAAAAAUUACUUUUAUUAGAACUUUAAACAACAUUGUGCACUCCUUAUAAGAGUUUUUUUUUUUUUCUUUCUAAACAUAUAAACUUGGAGUACAAUGAGAUUUUUUGAAUGACAAUAAUAACACCUUGAAAAGCGACAAUUUCUUAAUUUUAUAAUAUAACAACGUUGUAUAUUCAAGUGAACUUUAAAGUUAGAGAUCUAAUGUUUUUUUUAUUUUUUAUGUUUGGCUGUUUAAGAUAAAACUGUUUUUGAUUAUUUAGUGAAAGUUAUGUUUGUAGCUCUUUUUACUUAUCAUUAAGGACAUUUGUAAACAUGCAAUCAGUGAGGGCUAAAGUUUUUUUUGUUUUUUGAACAAACGAUAUUAGCUACGCUAAGAGAGUGGGGGAGUGGGCUAAACCUCACAAUAGGUUAACAAUAAUGUGGUUCAAAUUCGCCUUUGGUGAGAAUUGAACAUAAGACCUCUCACAUAUAAGUGAAGAGGAAUAUCACUAGACUGUAGUAUUAAGUGGCUUUGUUUUGAUUUAAGUGAAUGUUUUCUAGUAUCAAUACAUAGUCAUACUUUUUUAAAACUUAAAACUAUCUUAAGGAGGGCUCAUUUUACAAAUUUCGUACAGGAUCCUCAAAAUCUCAGAGACGGCCCUAGUAGUAACCUCCAUAUAGUAAGGCUUAGCUAAGUUGGCUAGCUAAAGCAAUGAGCUCCUAAACGCUUCGGUGUAAUUAGGAAUGGAACCAUGUAAUUACAAGUUGUAAAUCCCAAUGUGAAAUUUUCAACAAAAAGAUGAUACACCACAAUUCCAAAUAUUGUAAACUGAGUUGUUAUUUUCAUAGCAAAAUAGUAUUUCACUUAUAAAAAUGCUGUGAUCAUUUAUUGAAAAUUUACUGCAACUUUUAUGUACAUCAUUCAAAGAUACCGUUUUUACUCCUCAAAAAAGUUUUCACAAUUACUUCCUACAGCCAGUGUUACCAAAUCAUGUAAUUCUUCACAGACCACGGUUGACCUAGAUAGUAGUAGAUAAGAGAUGCUCGUAUUGUAAACAAACUAUUGUUUUUGAUAAAAGUUGGAAUGAAGGGAGAAAGCAGGUUCAGUAAGAGUAGCACAAAGCAUACUAACGAGAGUCUGGUCAGUCUGGUACCAGGCAAGGUACUCAGGGUUGGGAGAAGUAGUGACCACUGGUGGGAGAACCGAAGAAGCAUCAGAAUCAGCAGAAGCAGCGGGGGAGGCACCUGGAGCAGUGGUGGUGAUUACUGGACUAGGACACCAAUAUGAAGACAAAACGCCAUAAAUUUUGGCCAACUAAAAAUGGCUUCACCUGACUCUCCCAAGGAAGAUAAUUUCUUUCAGAGAGUUUGACAGAAGCCAAGAUAGAGAUAUUGAGAAUGGUGAUUGAGGAAGAAGAUGGGGUUGCGGAAGCCAUGUGAAAAAGAGAGGAUCAAAGCUCGAAUGCCAUGUGAACUUUCCGUAGUUCAUUGAUUAUUAGAACAAUAAUUAAAAAUACAAAUUAUAAUGAUAAGAUAACAACAGAGCCGAACAAUAACAUUAUCCACAUCUAUAAUCUUCAGUCACAUCAUCCUUCAGAGAGUACAUUUUGCACUCACAAAAGAAAAAUAUUUGUACAGUCUGUAGAAAAAAAUUUCUUUACAAAAAUGCAACUCAACUCAUGUAAUCACAAUGAAUUCAAAAUGGACAAAUAACAUCAAUGAAGGUAUCUUGUCUGCAGGGAAUUGUUAGACCACCAUUGGAUGAUCAGAUCCAUAUUCUUGUUAAGCCUCACUUAGCAAGUCUUGGAAUGAAGGUUGGUUGAGGUAUGAUACAGGAAUGACAAACCGCUGUCUCUUGUUCUCCCCAACAUAAACCGCUAAAUAACCUUUUGGGACAUCUGCUAUAUUAUAUGAACCUCCUCGACUUGAAUUUGAAAAAGACCGCCGAAGAAUUUUCUUUACAUGAGUUACACUUGGACGACGGAAACCCAUGGUUUUAUGUCUCUCUAGAGAAAUGUCUGGUGCAAGUUUAUAGGAGCAAGAAGAAGAGAAGAGUUGGGAAGAUGCAGAAACUUGAAUGGAUGGCAAUGAAAGUCUCAUGAAAUAUAUAUAGUUAAAGUUUUAUGUAGGAAUUAUCCUCUGUUGAAAGAAAUAUGUGGUGACAAUUAAGGCCAUCUUGAUAGGGCAUAGAAGGGACACUGAUCACAUGGUGCUGUUUUCCACCUCAACUUCAAUAUUUUAGGUGAAAUAUUUUUGGACAGAAACAGUACUUCAACAGAUACAUAGUCUGAAUCACCACCGAUGUAUUUUGACAGGAUGGUGAAUUUGAAGACAGAGCCAUGUGAACUUAGAAAUGCUUGUGUCUUUAGAUUUUUUUUUUUUUCAAUCCCAUUAAAUUUCCUGCGGAGCACUCACUCAAACAUUCUUAUAACAUUAUGUUGAUUGUUAGGAUUACCACUGAUCUAAUCGCAUAUAUACCUUCCGAACAUUAGUAGGACAUUAUGUUUUAUCUUAGUUUCAAUACGUUUUCAGUUUGUGCAGUUAUUAAGAGAUGUAGCUGUAGGGUAUUGUGAUUUUUCAUUUCUGCUCAUACAUUUUUCUUGAUUAGUUGGAAAGACAAGUCCAUGUGAUUAUCCACGAGAAAAUGAUUAUCACUUGGCUCAGCCACGGUCCUUCACCAAUUGUAUUUUUGGAAAACUAACCAAAACACCCUCAAAAGUUUCACUUUAAUCAUAAGGACAAAAUCUUUUUAUAAUACCCAAAUUGGGCAUGGGAAAGAGGACAAGGAAGAAAAACAAUUCUGAGAAAUCACAUGCAAACAAUGCAAACAUUUCUGAAAUAUCACAUGGAUGACCAAAAUAAAGGCUCCAGGAGACAAAUCAUGCAGCAAAUUCACAUGCAAAAGGAGACAAGCAAGAUCACAUUACCACACAUUACCACGUUUCAGAAACAAUGCUAACAAUUUUAGCAACAGUAGAGGCAAGUGACAAAUUACAAGUACCAAGGAGAUGUCCAUACCAUUACCAUUGUAUUCUGAUUCAGUCUAUAUAAGAAGAGUUUCAUUCAUUGUAAAUCUCACCUCCCUCAACAUCUAAAAACACCAUACUCACUUCAUAUACUCAAGCAUUCGUAGCCUUCGUAGCAUCCUUGUAAACACUUCUUUGUAAUCAUUUUCUUGUAAACAAAUAUCUUUGUAAACAUUCCAUAUAUCAAUAAAAGUUCAAGUGUACAUAUUCAAGCAAUCUCCAAGUCUUAAGUAAGUUUUCUUUUCCUUCUUUAAUGUGUUUGUUUAAUUAGACUUCUAGUCCAAAACAUGGAAACACUAUUGUGGUUAUAUUAUUAACCUGCUAAACUGAUGAUCAUACUUUGUUCGAGCACUCUGUUAUAGUUGCAUGCUUACCAUACAAAUAACUGGACAUUAACUAGGAUACCGCUGAGUUCUUCGUACCUCUGAGUUCAACCGUUAAGGCCUUAUACUUGUACUGUGAGUUGUCGUCAUGCUGAAACAUGUCGAGUUCCAUGUGCAAGGUUCUAUGUCUAGUUGUUAUAAUGGUCAUCCGACUAUUUAACCGAGCAUGCGUUGCGAAUUUGGUAUCAGAGCCUAGUUUAGCAUUUUAAUAGUAUAAUUAUAAUAAUAAAGUACCUUGAGGAUAGAAGUCAUUGAUACAACUGAUAUCAUAUUUGUUUAUUGUGUAUGAACAACAGAUAUUAUUGUCCCUGUAGACCCUGUCAACCAUAAUUACCAGGUAUUUAUUGUCCCAAACAUCCAACUAUAACUAGCAUAAAGAGAAGAUUAGCAUAUAUAUCCAAAAGAAUUAUCAGUACUUUGAAGAAGCAAAAGUUUUAUCUUGGCUAUUUUGAACAUCCUUUAUUUAUUCGUAAAUAUAAUAACACAUAAAUGCAGCAUAAAGUUUUAGAAGCAAAAAGAACAACAGAUCAAGUUUUAGAGACAUUGAGAGAAGAAAGAGAGUUUUAAAGAAACCAGUUAGCCUUAACUCUAGAGAAAUGUAGACUAUAGUUUAUGAUAGAUUAUCUUAAUUUAGAAAUUAGUGAACCUUAAAAAAGAAAAAUAACUUUAGACCAAAAUAGUUUAGUUUGCUAUUUUCCAUUGAGAAAGCACAAUCAUAUUUUGCAUAGUGAAGAAAAUCCGCAAGCCAAUAGUAUUGUAGACUUAUUAUUAGUCAAGCAGAAAAUAUAAAAUUAGAAAAUAAUAGGCAUAAUCUUUUGUUAAACCAGUUGUUAGAGCAUUUUCAGAAAAAUUCCAUAAAAAUAAUUAGAAAAAAUUUAGAUUAUAUUACAUCUCAGUUAGAAGAUAAUAAUAAAAAUAUUCAAAGGUUUCCUAGCAAAAGAAAGGUAAAAGAGCUUGUUGAUCUUAUAAAUAGUAAGCCGAAGCAAGUAGAACUUAGAUCAUUAGAAAUAGUUGAGCAGCUAAAAUUAGAAGUUCAAAAAAUUCAAUUAGUACAAAAAGAGUUAAGUGAACAAGUAGAUAAGUUGCAUAAUAAAAUAGAUAAAUUAUUAGUUUAAUGAUAGAUUUUAGAACUAGCAGAAAAUAUAUUCAAGCUUUGAAAGAAAUUAGUAAGUUAGAUAAAGAGCCAGUAGGUUUAACAGAUUUUUCAACACAAGUAUCCAGUAGUAAUAUUCCCAUUAGGCAAAAUAAUUUGAUUAUUCAAUUAGUUUUAAGUUUGGCUGAAAAAUUAGAUCAAGUUGAAGAAUAAAUAGCAGAAAUAAACCAAGUUUUACAUAACGCAUCUUCAUCACUUCCACCAUCCUUGCUAGAUAAAUUAGAAAAUGUAACUUUGAGUGCAAAUAAUAAAAGUCCUAAGCUAAAUCCUUUUGAUAAUAGAAAAUGGAACUCUUUAGGAAAAAAGGAAAAGAAGUAGUAAGAGCGGAAGAUAUUUAUCCAAAUGAAGAAGAAGCACAAGAAUUUAUUCGAAGAGGUUAUGAGAGAACACAGAAAAAUAAGUAUAACUUGUAUCAAUUAGGUUUAUUUGAAAACAGAAGUAGAAUUGUAAGCAGCAUCAGUCAACAUGAAGUUAGCUGUAUUGAUAAAGAAGUCACACUUAAUCUGAUUAGUAAAGAAGCAGUUACUCAUUUGAGAAAAUCACAUUUUAGUCAGAUUCAUAUAGGAACAAUAUUAAUUGGAAUAGCAGGAUUAACCAGAGCACAAGUAGGUACAAAAGCUUUAGUAUACAUAGAUGAUGAUAGAUGAGAUAAUCACCAACAAGCAACAAUAGCAACAGCUGAAGUAGACUUAAGUUCAAACUUAGCAGUCAUAGGUUGUAUUCCAAAUUAUGUUAUGAUGAUUAAUGAAUUUAGUAAAUAUAUUAAAGUGAGCAUAAGAACAAAAAAAUAUAAUAUGAAAGGAGAGUAUAAAAAUUUGUGUAUUAGCUUAAUGUAUAGGUAAAGUGUCUGAUAGAUAUAAUCAUAAGUUUAAUUUAGAGUUUCAAAAUUUAGUCCAAAUAUUUGGCAGUAAACAUGUAAAUAUGAUAGAAGCAAAACUCGUAGAUAAUAGUUUUUUAGAAGGAACUCAGUGGACAUUGCUUAAUUUACAAGUAGCACAAAAUAGACAACCAGAUAAAGUACAAAUAUAUGAAACUAGUACCGGUCAAGCAACAAUUACGUUUAGUAAUUAUAAGCAACUAGAAAAAAAUAGAAGAGGAUGAGAGUGAAAUCGAAAAUGAGAGUAUACAUAUGGCUUUUGAUAAUUUAGAUAUUAAUUUAGUUGAACAAAAUUUUGAUCAUAUUGUAGAUAAACUAAUAGAAUAUAUUGAUCAUUUAGAUGAAGAACAAUAUUUGAAAAAAUAUAAGACAUAUGAUUUAGGACUACAUAAAAUUUCAGACGAGGAAAUGAAAAAUUUAAUCUUAGAAAUGGGAGUAGAACACAUUAUAGGAUCAAAAGAAUAUAAUAAUUUAUUAGAAUUGAAAGCAGAAUGUAAUCCAACAGAAGAAAGUAGUACAUCAGGAGUAGAAAAUCCAGGACACGCAAGUAGAACUGAUCAACAAUUUUUGAGACCAACAAAUGAACAAUAUAAUGAAAAAGAAAAAGUAGACUAUAUGGAAAAAAGUAUGAUAAAACCUAGAAAAAAAUAGGAUUCCAUAUUUGAGAGGAUUAGAACAAAUUAAUAUAGCUGGUAAUAUAUUAAAUUUAGAUAAUGUAGAUCCACAAGAUUGGGAAAUAACGAUUGAGAGAUGGGAAAAAGGCUGCGUACAUGCAGCAUUAAUGUUAGAUUUUAGUAAUUCACAAAAUAUGUUAGAUUACUUUAAGCAUACUUUGGAUGGUUUAGUUUUUUAUUAUUUCCAGUCAUGGAAAGUUCAAAAUCCAGAACAGCAUCAGACGGCUAAAACACAUUUUAAUAUUGAUGGUUUUGUUACUUUGAUUAAACAAGAGUUUUUAGAUCAUAAUAGGUUAGAUGGCAGAAGCGAACAAGAACAAAUAAGAGCAAUUAGAAAUUUAGAACAAUUACAAAUUUGCGAUUUACAGUAUAUAGCUGAGUAUACCACAGAUUUCUUUAAAUAUUUAGGAAGAACAGGUAGAAUUAGUGAUAUUAAUUUAUUAGAUACUUAUAUGACAAAAAUAAAAGGACCAAUAGGUGAAAAGAUUUGGAAUGAAUGGCAAAAGCAUCCAAAGAAAAAUGAUAUUGCUAUAAGACCUAGAAUUCAACAUGUAUAUGAUAUACUCAGACAAGAGUGUAGUCAAAUAAAAGCUAAGAGACAAAUUAGGAAACAAUUUUACAUGUGUUGUAAAAAUAUAGAUUUACCACAACAGUAUAGUUGCCAUAAGAAAAAGCAUAAGAAAAUAUACAAAAAGAAAUAUAAGUCGUAUAAACCCUACAAACAGCAUAAGAAUUUCAGCAUAAGACCUCAAGAACAUAUAGGAAAAGAAAAUAUAUUCCAAAACAAUUUAGAAAAAGAAGUGGCAGACCUUGGAAUAGAAAAUAUAAAGCACCAAAAGAUAAGAGUAAUUGUAAAUGUUAUUCAUGUAGAGAAGCUGGACAUAUUAGACCUAAAUGUCCAAAAUUAGGUAAACAGUCGAAAGAAAAAGUACAUUUGAUAGAGUUGUUUAAGUUAGAAGAAGAUGAAGAUAUUCAGUUAAUAUACAGUUUAGAUAAUUUAAGUGAUAAUGAGAGUAUUUAUAGUAUAGAGAGUAUGAACAUGAUAGAUUCAGACUCAGAAGAUUCAAGUAGCACAAAUAGUGAUCUAGAAGAGUAUAUGUGUGCAUUCAUAGAAGAACAGCAUGAAGACGAAUAUAAAUACAUAAAUUUAGGUUGGCCAGAAAAUUGUCAUAAGUAUAGUAAAUUAGUUGCAAAUAAAUACUAUAAUACAUAUUCAAUAUUAUUUGAAAAAUGUUAUAAUAAUAGGUUAUUAGAAGUUAAUUCAGCAGAAUCACAAGAAAAUAAUGAAAUAUUAGGAAAUAUUGUUCAUACUAUAGAAAAACAAAAAAAUAGUUCUUUAAUUACCUUAAAUUGUGAAAUAGAAUUAGCAAAAGAAGAUAAGAUACAAACGAUAGCUAUGAUAGAUACACGGAAUACAAGGAGUGUCAUAAGAAAAGAGUUAGUACCAGAAAAAUAUAGACAAAAAUUAGCAAAACCAGUAAAAAUAACACAAUUUGAUGAGAGACCAGUUUACUUAAUACAUUGUAUAAAUAAUGAGUUUAUUAAAGUAGAAAAACAACAAUUUAAUUUACCUUUAACAUUUGUUUCACCAUUAGGAUCAUAUCCAUUUAUUUUAGGUUUAAACUUUUUGAAAAGUUUGCAAGGUUUUUUAUUUAUGAACCCUAACAUAACGUUUUUCAAAAAAGGCAUUACAAUAACUGACCAAAGUAAUACUAUAAAAGCAUACAAAAACAUAAGUAUAGAAGAGCCUAGUGGCCAAGAUAGUUAUCAUUUAGAAAACUCAAAAUAAAAUGAUAAGCAUAAUAACGUAGAAGAGUUUGAUGAAGAUAUAUUUGAACAUGAAUACCCGAUUUUAGAAAAAGGAACCUGUAUAGAAAUAUUACAGUUAGAUAGACGAAAGAGUUUAGAAGAAUUGUUACAAUUAGCAGAACAAACUAGGAUUAUAGGAGAAGACCCACCGUUACAUUGGAGUAAAAAUAAAAUACUAGCAAAAUUAGAUAUAAUUAACCCAUAGUUAACCAUUAAGACGGCUGAUAUGCCUUGUAGUCUAAUAGAUAAACAAGAUUUUAAGCAGCAAAUAAAAGAGUUGUUAAAUUUAAAAGUAAUUAGACCCUCUAAGUCUAGACAUAGAUCAGAAGCAUUUAUUGUAAGAAAACAUUCAGAACUAAAGAGAGGUAAGGCUAGGAUAGUUUAUAAUUACAAGAGAUUAAAUGAAAAUACAUACGAAGGUAGUUAUAAAUUACCAAAGAAGGAUGAGCUUAUAAAUAAAAUUCAAGAGAGUAUAUAUUUUAGCAAAUUUGAUUGUAAAUUAGGCUUUUAGCAAAUAAGAUUAGCAGAAGAAUCAAUUGAGUGGACAGCUUUUACUUGUCCAAAAGGACAUUUUGAGUGACUUGUUAUGCCAUUUGGACUUAAAAAUGCUCCAUCAAUCUUUCAAGGAAAGAUGGACCAAAUUUUCAAGAAAUAUGAUACUUUUUGUAGUGUUUAUGUAGAUGAUAUUUUAGUACAUACUAAAAAUAAAAUGAACAUAGGAAGCAUUUAGAGAUAGUAUUACAAGAAUUUAUCAAUAAUGGAAUUGUGAUUAGCAAAAAUAAAAUAGCACUAGAAAAGCAAGAUAUAGAAUUUUUAGGAAUGUAAAUUAAGUCGGGUACAAUACAAUUACAAGAUCAUAUAGCUAAAAAGGUAUUAGAAUUUCCAGACAAAUUGGAAGAUAAGAAACAGUUAAAUGCAUUUUUAGGAUCGCUAAAUUAUGCAAGAAAUUUUAUCCCUGAUUUAUGAAGAAAAAUAACAGUAUUACAUAGUAAAACUAGCAAAACAGGACAAAAGUAUUUUAAUAGUGAAGAUAUUAAAUUAAUUCAAAAAAUAAAAGAAGAAAUUACUAAACUUAAGCCAUUAAUAUUACCAUUAGAUGAUAGUUACAAAAUAGUUGAAACAGAUGCUUCAUCAUUAAUAUUACCAAAGUCUGACGAACAAGUUUGUAGAUAUUCCUCAGGAAAGUUUAGUGAUGUACAGUCAAGAUUACCAUCAACAGAUUUAGAAAUUUUAGGGAUAAUUAAUUCACUUGAAGCAUUUUCUUUAUUUUUACAUAAUGAAGUAUUUACGAUUAUAAUAGAUUGUCAAAAUAUAGUUUCUCAUUAUAAUAAGAUACAUGCUAAUAAAUAGGCAGCCUGAAGAUGGGUUAAUUGUAUUGAUUCAAUUACAAGAAAUGGUUUUAAACCAAUUUUUGAACAUAUAAAAGGUAAUGACAAUACAUUAGCUGAUAUCUUAUCAAGAUUAAUUUGUUGAACAGGUAUGGAAUAUCGUGGACCAUCAUCAGCAAAUAGCACAAAAUUGCAAGGCAGAAGAGUUUCUUUCAAUGGCAUGAUGAUGCACCAUCAACCUCCACCAUUCAGUGGAUUUCAAAAUAGCAUGAGCAGACCAGCAUCACCACCAGUACCUACGUUCAACUUUAAUGGCAGUAUUGUUGAAGGAAUCAAAAAUCCAACUCUGAGAUAUAGGUCAAGGGUACCAGGGCUUUCUGAUAGGCAACAGGUUCUCUUAGAUAAUUGUUGGAAUAUCCAAAUUAAGCAAUCAAGCAUGAGGUUUGGUCAUGAAAAAAUAAUUAGAGCCUUGGAACAAGAGUUUGAUAGCCUUAAUUUUAAUUUCCACCAAAACCAUCAACAUAUUCAUUCUCUUGAGCACAACCUUCAAGUCAUCUCUAGGGACCAUGAGUCAUUACUUGGCAAUUUUACCAAAAUGAACCAAGAACUACAAUCUCCUAGAAUGCAGCAAAAGGCAAGUGACACCUUGAAAAGAGAAAUGAAAAUAGGUCUAGAAAUUGAUCAGCAUAAGAAUAAAGGAAAAAAUGUUAUUGAACCCAUAGAACAAGAGGCUAAUGAGCCCAUAGAAGAAAUUAAAAUUGAGCUCUUAGAAGGAGACGUUGAAAUGGAGCAACAUCAAAGUAAUGAUCAGCAUCAGAUUCUGAGUGACAAAGAAAAACAAGAAAAAUAUGAAAGUUUUCGUAGGAAUAUAUCUUCAGACUUAAUAUUAGAUGAUGUUUUAUUAGAAGAAAUUUCAAAGGCAAAACUAAUAAUAAUGCCAACAGAUAUGCAAAAUCAGAUCCUGAGCAGAACAUCACAGUCCAUGAAAGAGUUACAAUUACAAUUACAAUUCGCCUUGUAUCAAUCCAUCUUUGAUCCAAAACCAGGGAUAGAUAUUACAAAGAUGUAUCCUCCAUGUCUUUGUGAUAGUACAGAGAAUUGUAUUUGUAAACCAGAGGUUAGCGUAGCUAUGGCUAGGAUGAACAUGAGAGAUUUUAAAUCAUGGCAUUUUAGUUAUGAGCAUAAGAAAAAGCAUAAUGUGGUAGAAGUUACCCCUGCCUUACUAUUAGAGUUUGGUUAUCUCGAUAAAAUAUUUAUUAACCGUAUUUCUCAACUAGAAUCAUUUCCUGAAAAGCUUAUAAAAGUAGCAGAAGAUUAUCUAGAAAGGUGGAAAGAAAUUUGCAUAAGUUUUAUUAGUAGUCCUCCGGAUUGGUAUGUACAUAUGCAUAAGGAGAAAACUAGGUAUAUAGCCACGAUCAAUGAAGAGUCCUUUAGACUAACCCCUAUCUCCUCACAUAGGUGGACUCCUUCAUACAAAGAUAUUUUAAAAUUUAGAGGGAUCCAAAUGUUUGUCUUAGAUGAGUUUGAAGAUUUUAGGUAUGACAUGGUACUAGUAGCAGAAGAACAAGAGAUGUAUAUUUACAUCAAGACAAUGAUCAGUCAUCAGCCUUAUUGGAAGCCCCAAAAUUUCAAAGAAGAAACAGCAGAAAUAUACUAUAAGGUGAAAGAAGAUAGAGAAAGAGAAACGGAGAUAGUAGAAGGCGAUGAACAGUACUGGAAUAAUUUGACAGAAGAAGAGCUGCAUAACAUGACAACAUGAUGGAAGCCUGAAGAGCUAGCUGUAAAUUAGCAUAAGUUUAAUAGCAUAAUGUAAAAUAAUGUAUUCCCAGACAGAAAUGUCAACAUCAUUGUGGACCCUGCUGUAAUGGCAUAAGAGUAAAUUAAGAAAAGAACAUGAUCCAUUAUGGACUUUUCAUACAUAAAAUGUCAUUUUGAUUAAGAAUGAAUAGUUCCAGGCCCUUUUCAUUAGAACUCCCUUGUAUUUUUGUGCAUAACCCAUAUCCUUGAAAAAUUGGAAGUCAUAGCCAUGUGAACAUAUUAGUGCUUGAGUAGCAGGGUCACUUGACAAUCCGCAUUCAAUUGCCUCCAGGCCACUCCCUCCAACUUGUACAAAUUAUUUGUAGACCAACGUAUCAAUUUUUCGUACGUAUUGUAACCAAAACAGAUUAAGCCCUCACAUUUUAUAUGCUAAAACUGUUGAAAUAGCACCACGAGAAAAAUUCUUGUCUCAAGCAUGUCUCUGAUUUUUUUUUAUAGGCCUUCAUUUAAGAGAGAUAGGACAUUGGGUUGCUUUUGUUUGGUCAUCGACGUGAGGUGUUAUUGAUAGCUUGUAGACAAGUCCAUGUGAUUUUCCAUGAGCAAACUCUCUCUCACUUGGGUCUAUUCCAGUGCUUCAUCACCAAUCAUUUUAGGUAACCGACCACUUGCAGAUACCGCUUUAGCUAUGUAUGCACACAUCCAAGGUUCAGGAGCAAACUAACACAAGUCUUCUACUCCCAAGCAUAUCUUAUCAAAGCACUUUCUGUCCUGAAAUUCAUUUGAACUCUUUAUUGUUCCUUUUUACAGGAAUUGUAAACCAUGGGUUUCCGAUUUCAUGGUAUUGUACAUGCCAAGAAAAAUCAAGUUUCUUCAAAGUCAUUGGAUGUUCCAUAAGGCUAUCUUACCAUCUACGUUGGGGAGAGCCACAAGAAGCAGUUUAUUAUUCCGGUGUCCUACUUGAACCAACCUUCACUCCAAGAUUUGUUAAGCUUAGCUAAAGAUGAAUUUGGAAACGAUCAUUGAAUGGGUGGUAUCAUAAUCCCUUGUAGUGCAGACACCUUUCUUAGUCCCACCUCAGCUUUGGGGUAUAUGUAGAGCCUGUUAAUGUUUAAGCGUUUUUAGCAGAAAUAGGCUUAUUCAUUUUACUUGUUUUAAUCAUAGCCGUUGGAUCAUAUUCCAAAUGGAUGCUCUAGAUUAUGUUAGAGUAAGUGAGAGUGUGUGACACAUGUAACUAUCUCAUAGGAUAAAUGACAUGGAUGACUGUGAUCUUUCGUUUCUAUUAUAAGAGAUAGAGGCUUUAUUCCAUUCUGGUUGUAAUGAUUAUAUUCCACUUGUACUUAUAGAGAGAGAGCCGUAAAUUAAUGAAUUCAGUUUUACACUCAUCUCUAUGAUUUUCGCUUCCUGCAACUUCCAUUUUCUUCUUUCUUCCAGAAAUAACAUACACACUCCAUUGAAUUACAACACAAAAUCACAUAACCUAACAUGGCCUCAGAGCUAGGUUGUGUCAUCUGUAACUGGGCAUGAAUCUGUGACUCCAGCAGUGAAGAACUCGAACUGAUCGUCGAGCUUUGUUGUUUAAGGAUAUUCAGAGAAGAAAUCUUAGUGACCUUGAAUCGAGUCUCAUAUGGUUGGAUUAAGUGGUGCUGAGCUUCGAGCACCAGUGUUCAAUGGAGACAACUUUGAUUUCUGGUAGAUUAUAAUGAAGACGAUAUUCUGAUUUCACGAACUUUGGGAUCUAGUAGAGAAGGGCUUCGCUACCCCGAUGAAGAAUGAGGAAGAACUCACUGAAACGGAGGGGAAGCUAUUGAAGGAGAACAUCGUCAAAGAUGCAAAGGCACUUAGAAUCAUCCAAUGGUCGAUUUUUGAUCAAAUCAUCCCGAGAAUUGCCAUCCAAGAGACUGCAAAUGCUGCUUGGAAUGUCUUGAAGCGAGAAUUUGUGGGAGAUAAACAUGUAAGAGCUGUGAAACUCCAAGGCUUACGCUGUGAUUUUGAGUAUACUAGAAUGGGUAAGAAUGAAGCCCUCUCUGCAUAUCUAGUGAGACUGUUUGAUUUGAUUAGUCAAAUGAGGAGAUAUGGUGAAGAUAUUAGUAAUCAAAGAAUUGUUCAAAAAUUGCUGAUAAGUUUACGUAGAUCUUAUGAUAGUAUAGCUUCUAUGAUUGAAAAUACUAAAGAUCUAGAGACUAUUGAUGCUCAAGAUGUUGUGGCUAUCCUAAAGGGGUAUGAACAAAGGAUUGAUAGACAUGCUGAAAUCCAAAUUGAGAAGGCAUUUGCCAGCCUUCAUGUUGAUCCAAAACAAUAUAAGUAUAAUGGGAAUCAAGGGUUCAAGCCACGGAAAAAUUGGAAGUCAAAAUGAAAGAAAGGAUAUAAUAGACGUGCAAAUCAAGCUGGAAAAGAUGCAAACACAUAUGAGGUAGCUAAGAAUUCAUGUAUACACUUUGAUAAGUUGCACUUUGGUGAAUGUUGGUUCAAAGAUAAGCCUAGAUGUCAUAAUUGCAAUAAGUUGGGGCAUAUGGCAAAAGAUUGUCGUGGCAAGAAGGAAAAGGCUAACCAACAUGUAAGCUUUGUUAACCAAGUCAAUGACACCCCUACAAUGUUCUAUGCUUGCAACAAUGCCAUUGUGAAGAAAUGUGAAGACAUAUGAUAUGUAGAUAGUGGAUGCAGCAACCACAUGACUGGAAUGGGGGAUCUGUUAGUUGACAUUAACAGAAUAAUGACUGCUAAAGUUGAAAUGGGCACAUAUCAGCUUAUUGAUGUCACAUGCAAGGGAAACGUGGUAAUUGAAACCAAUAUGGGGAGGAGAUAUAUCAAGGAGGUAAUGUUAGUUCCAGGAUUGAAAGAAAACUUGCUCAGUGUAGGGCAAAUGAUGGAACAUGGCUAUUUUCUGGUGUUUGGUGGUACAAAUGCUGAGAUAUACGAUGAUUGCUCUCUGUCAAACUUGUUAGCCAAGAUACCAAUGAAAGGAAAUAAGAGUUUUCCCUUGAAACUUCAACUUAAGAUGCAAAUUGCUCUAAAAGAUAGUGUGUGUCAGUCAUCCAUGAUUUGGCAUAGGAGGUUAGGACACUUGAAUAUGGGCAGUCUGAGGCAACUCAAAGAACAAGAUAUGAUGCUGGAUUGCCUGAACUCAAAGUGACAUAUGAGAUAUGUGAAGGAUGUACUUUUGGGAAGCAUUGCAGGGAUGCAUUUCCAAAAAAACCAUCAUGGAGGGCAUCUCUCCCUCUAGAACUUGUUCACUCAGACAUCUGUGGACCUAUGCAAACUCCUACAAAGGCUAGUAAUAGGUACUUUCUUACCCUUAUAUAUUUUUGCACUAGGAUGUGUUGGGUCUAUUUCUUGAGAUACAAGUCUGAAGUGUUUGGUAUACUCAAGAAGUUUAAGCCCAUAAUUGAGCUACAAAGUGGAUAACAAUUAAAAAAGUUGAGAAGUAAUAGAGGAAGGUAGUACACAUUUUUUGAAUUCAGUGACUUUUGUGAAGAGAUGGCAUGGAAAGGCAACUUAUAGUUACUUAUACACCGCAUCAAAAUGGUAUAGCUGAGAGGAAGAACAGAACCAUAGUAGAAAUGGAAAAAUGCAUGCUGAUUGAAAAGGCUGUUCCAUUUGAGUUUUGGGCUGAAGCUGUCAACACAGCAAUGUAUAUCUUUAAUAAGUGUCCCACUAAAUCUUUUGACAAAAAGGCUCAUUUUGAGGCUUAUAGUGGAAGAAAGCUAAGAAUCAAGCACUUAAGGGUUUUUUGUUCUAUAUGUUAUGCUCAUAUUCCAAGUCAUCUCAGACAGAAGCUAGAUGAAACCAGUGUUAAAUGUAUUUUCUUGGGGUAUGGCACAUGUGAGAAAGGUUAUAGACUUUAUGACCUUGAUUCAAAAAAGAUGAUUGUGCCAAGAAAUGUGAUAUUUGAUGAAAAUGCUUGUUGGGAUUGGAAGUGUCAAUCUGAGAAGAGUAUUAGUGUACCAAUAACUGGUGUGGAAACCUGUAAACAAAGGGAAGAAGGAAGCUCAAGUGAUAGAUGUAAUGUAAAUGAUGAGUCUCUGAUACCUGCAUCUGAAACUUGUGAAUCAAUUGAAAAUGGUUCAAGAUUUGUCCCAAUGCAGAAUAACACAGGUCCCUAAGACUAUGAGCAUACCUCAUUGAAGUUCAGAGCUUGACAGAAGUGUAUGCAAAGUGUAAUUUAUGCAUAGUUGAGCUUAAGAGCUUUGAAGAAGCAGCCAAAGAUGAGUCAUGGUAGAAAGCAAUGGAAGCAGAAAUUGCUAUAAUAGAGAAGAACUGCAUUUGGGAACUUGUUGACAGACCAUUUAAUAAACCAAUAGUUGGUGUCAAGUGGAUCUACAAAACAAAAUUGAACAUGGAUGGGUCUAUACAGAAGAAUAAGGCAAGAUUAGUUGCAAAGGGGUACUCUCAAAAGCUUGGGGUUGAUUUCAAUGAGACAUUUGCCCAUAUGGCAAGGCUUGACACCAUUAGAACUCUAAUUAGACUAGCUACACGAAAUGAUGGAAGUUGUUCUAACUCAAUGUGAAAUUUGAACUCUUGAAUGGGGUUCUAAAUGAAGAAGUGUAUGUAGAUCAGCCACAUGGAUUUGUAAUUGUAGGUAAAGAGGACAAGGUUUACAAGUUCAAGAAGGCCUUAUAUGGUUUAAAACAGGCACCAAAGGGCUGGUAUAAAGAAAUUGACUCUUAUUUCUAUAAUGCUGGCUUUCAUAAAAGUCUAAGUGAGGUAACCCUUUACAUCAAAACAACUGAGGUAGGAAUUCUCAUUGUUUCCUUGUAUGUUGAUGACAUUAUAUACACAGGGAGUUCUAGUGCAUUGAUGGAUAAAUUUAAGGCAUAAAUGAUGAGAAAGUAUGAGAUGUCGGAUUUAGGUCUGUUGCAUCACUUCUUAGGGCUUGGAGUAAUUCAAACAGAAGACUGCAUCUUUCUGAAUCAAAAGAAAUAUGCAAGAACCUUGCUGGAGAAGUUUGGAUUGAAGGAUUGCAAGUAUGUUGCAAUUCCACUUGUAGCAGAUGAAAAGUUAAGCAAAGUUGAUGCAAGUGAGAUGGCUGAUGAAAGUCUUUAUAGGAAGAUGGUUGGUAGUCUGUUAUACUUAAUAGCUACAAGACCUGAUAUAAUGUUUGCUGCAAGUUUCCUAGCUCAAUUCAUGCACAAUCCAACCAGAAAGCACAUGGGAACCACAAAGAGGGUGUUGAGAUAUAUACAAGGAACACUGGACUAUGGAAUUGCAUAUGAGAAAGGCAAAGAUGAUGUGCUUAUUGGCUAUUAUGAUAGUGACUGGAGGAAGUGAAUAUGACAUGAAGAGCACCUCGGGUUAUGCUUUCAGUUUUGGUUUUGGAGCAUUUUCUUAGGCCUCAAUCAAACAAAGUAGUGUAGCACUGUCCACUGCAAAGGUUGAGUAUGUUAGUGUUAUAGAAGCAACUGCCCAUGCCAUCUGGUUAAGGUUUGUUCUCUUAGAUUUUGGUGAGGAACAAGUGGAGCCAACUCAGAUUCUACGUGAUAACACCUCUGCCAUUGCAAUUUCAAAGAAUCUAGUGGCACAUCACAAGACAAGGCAUAUCAACAGAAGGUUUCAUUUCAUCAAAUAUGCAUUGCAGAAUGGUGAAGUUGAUCUAGUUUAUUGCAAAACUGAAGAGCAAAUAGCUGAUAUAUUCACAAAGGCCUUGGCAAGAGAUCGAAUGGAGUGGUUGAGGAAAGCUUUGGGGAUGAUUUCUGCUAAACACUUAGAAUGGAGUGUUAGUGUUUAAGUAUUUUUAGCAGAAAUAUGCUUAUUCAUUUUACUUGUUUUGAUCAGAGCCCUUGGAUCAUAUUCCAAAUGGAUGCUCUAGAUUAAAUUAGAGUAAGUGAGAGUGUGUGACACAUGUAACUAUUUCAUAGGAUAGAUGACAUGGAUGGCUGUGAUCAUUCCUUUCUGUUAGAAGAGAGAGAGGCUUUAUUCCUUUCUGGUUGUAACAGUCAUAUUCCACUUGCACUUGUAGAGAGAGAGUCGUGAAUCAAUGAAUUUAGUUUUGCACUCAUCUCUAUGAUUUUUGCUUCUUGCAACUUCCAUUUUCUUUUUUCUUCCAGACAUAACAUACACACUUGAUGAGUAGAUUUUAUAUUAUAUAUUUUACCUUAAUCUUAGUAUAUUUUGGUUAAUAUUUUGGAAGAAUUUUGAUACUUUGAAUUGUAUUUUCAAUAUAGGACUUUCGACUUCCUCUGGAGCAAAACAGAACCAAAUGGAUGAAUUUUGGAGUAAUUCUAGUUGGAGGACGUUCGUGAGUCACUUAGCUUGAUCAUAUCAAAAUUUGAGAUUUUUCCACCAAGUGGUUAUUUUCUGGCGAUAAAAUAAAGGAGCGAUGCGCAGUGUUGGAAAAUGACGUUUUUGGGCUCAAAUUACGUUUUUGUAGCCCAAGAUGACCUCGGAUGGGUUCGUGGCCUUCUGGAGAAGUGUUCAGAAUAUUCCAAACAUUAAAUCCAUCUUUAUUGGGCCAGUUUUGGAGCAGCUUAUGGGUCAAAAACUUGGCUGUUCAGAUUUUAGGCGAAUUUUACCAUUUAAUUUAGGGUUAUGUUUCUUAUUUUAUUUGAUUAUUAAUUUUAGUUUCCUGAGCGAAAUAAAGGACCUGUUUUUUUAGGGUUUUGUGGGGAGGCUUAGCAGAUAUUGCUUGGCCGUCUACAGUUUUUCUCGACACUUUAUUUUAUGCAAUUUUGGAGACAGAGAGAAUUGUUAGGGUUUUGGAGACUUUUUACUUGGAGGUGCUUUCAAUCCUUUUCUUAGUAAUAUUUUCUAUGAUUUCAAUUAUGAAUAUGCGUAACUAAUUCUCUUUUGCUAGGGCGAAGCCUUGAGCCUUAGCAUGAAUAUGUGAUUUUUAUUUAAUUGCUUAUGAUUGAUUGCAUGUAUACUUUGAAUUGUUAAUCACCGGGAUAAAAACUAUCUAAUUGUCUUAAUGCCUGAUCACCAUUAGGAUCUUUAGAAAAGUAAUUUGAUGCAAUUUUGGUCGGAAGGUUCCCUGAAAUUGACGCUGGCUUCUUGUGAUUAAUAAUUGUAAUUUCACUUAGGAUGAAUAUCACGUCUUAAGGAUUGCAUGGUUUUUCAAAGGAUUUUCAUAAAGCAUAAUGAGUCUUUCAUGUUCAGAUUUGAACCGAACGUCCGUACGGGUUGCAUGUUAGAUAUACGUUCUAUGUUGGAGGUUCCAAGUAGAAUAUGAAUUAGGAAAAGCUAACCUUCAAAGUGGCAUGUGUAGAUCAUAAGUAAUUGGUAAAAAUUCAUAGGAUUGCUAGGUGAUGGUGGAACCCUAGUGCUUUCUUAAUUUGAUUCUCCCAAAACUGUUUUAUUUUCUCACGAGCUCUAAUAUUGCAGAUUGUUUAUUUUAAUUCAUUAAUUUCGUUUUUAUUUUAAUUAGGUUAUAAAAUCAAUCACCUAAACUUCUACUUUACAAUAAUUAAUUGAAAUUUGAUUUGUUUCGAAUUAUUUAAUAAUCCCUGUGGAGACGACUUUGCGAGAUUCGUUUAUACUACAAUAACCUUGUGAUUCUUGCAAGUAAAAUAGGAGAUUUAAGCCCGUUCACAUGAGUAGUAAAAAUCCUAUCAAGAAAAUGGCGCCGUUGCCGGGGAUUAUUUAAAAUAAUUCCUACUAAUCAGAUUUUCAAUUAGUUAUUGUUGUAUAUACAUAUAAGAAAAAAAAAAUUUAAUUUUCGUUUUUGUUUUAUUUUUCUCAGAUUACAACAACUCUUAGUUAAUUAUUUUUGUAUAUAUCUUUUUAUUUAAUUGCUGAUUUUGUUUGGUAGGUUACAAUUUGUUUCUUUUUUAGCAGUGCAACAAUGGAAUUUGCAGUUCCCCCUGAAUUCAAUCUAACACCCGGUGGACCACCUCUUUGGGUGUCAUUAGCAGAAAAGGGUUAUUAUGGAUUUAAGCCUACAGUUUGUGCUAUUUGUAAUUCAAAUACUCAUGAUAUUUUGCAAUGUCCUGAGAGAGAAUAUUUUCCAGAUUAUGUCCAGGAGUAUAUAAAUAUGAGAAACGAUUCAAAAUGGAACUGGAACAAUCCCCAUUCAGAGUUCUACACUCAAAGUUUGAAAGAGCAUCUUGGGCAGUAUUUUGAGCAGCUUAAUGUGCCACAAGAGCUUUCAGUGGAGGACAAGCUCUCUAAAUUGUUGGAAUUAACUGACUUAUACAUUGAAAUAACCAAUGACGGAUUUUUGAUUCAAGCAUUAAAUUAUGGGAAGAGCUUUAAUGAUUAAGAAAAGAUUGGUGCAGGAAUUGAAGAGCAAUUUUCCACCUAGUCAUGCCCAAGGGAGGAAACACCACCUGCUGAUCGUGAAACAAUUUCCCCAUAAUCUUUUCCUCCCCAAGUUUAUGUGCCACCAGAACCCUUCCCAACAGGGCUGCACGAAUGCACAAGAAUUGAUAUGUUAGAAGCUGUUCAUUCAAAAUCAGUACAUCAGACAUCACAUGAUCAACUUUUGACUACUCUGACCAUUUUGGAUUUGGAGCAACAGGCUACUGAUCAAAAAAUUUUGGUUGCUGAAUUGGACAUGCAAACGUCGCAAUUCAUCAAAUUUAAAGAAAAUAAGGAUCAAUUCCAUGACAACCAAAUUCCUCGUAGAGAAAUUUUGCCAGUGCAGAGGUUGUGGGUGUUAAAUACAAGGUUCAAGGUAGCUCGAUGGAAACAUAAACCUCACUGGAAACAACCUUAUUUGAUCACAAAGAUUCAUUCACAUAGAAGUGCACUUAUGAAGAAUUCAACCACUGAUAAACAACAACUCAUUCCAUACCUACUGUUGCCGUAUGAUGCUAUCAAGAAGUGGUUAACUUGAAGGGAACAAGUGACGUGAUCUUCAAUUCUUCCCUCUACGUCUAGCUAUAGACGUUAACUAAAGCGCUAAUUGGGAGGCAACCCAAUUUUUCUAACUCUUUUCUUUUUAUUUCGUUUAUUUUAUUUUCCUGUUUUUAUUCCUAAUUACAAAAAUCACAAAAAAAUCAGAAAAUUGAAAAAAAAAUUGCAGUUUUUAAUUCUUGUUAUUUUUCUUUACUUAUCUAAUUAGGGUUUUUAUUGCAGGUUGCAUUCAGAACUGAUUCGGCCUAAUCCCAACUAAGGGGGUGCAAUCAACAUUUAUUCCCCCAGCACAUUCAUCAUCAAUUCCUCUACAUUCAUGAGAUUAGGCAGUGCGGAGUGCAGAAACAAAGUUAAGGGAUCUAAGUGGCACAGAGAAUAAGACAUGAUGAAUUUAUAGAUCUCUUCAUGCAUGACGAACAAGCCAAUUCAACAUACUGAGGCACUGAGACCAUAUACAAAUUUUUAUUCAUAGAUUCUUAUCAAACAUAGUUGCAAGGAUAUAAAAGCAUACCUUUUCAAUGAGGAUCUGUGAGUCUCGAUUUUUCCAUGGAAACACACAUGCAUUGGGCAAUUUUCAUUCAUUUUUCCCUAAUCUAAGCACUUGAGACAAAAAUCGAAGGGAGAUGGAGAUAAAAACUACCUGUGAGUGUGUCAGACUAGAGCAGGAUGCGAUAUGUGGUUUCAUCUGAGUAGGUUGUUGGUCUUGCUGCUCGAGGUGCUGGAUUUCCGAGACACGGCGGUGUGUAGAUAGCUGGGCUAUUUAUUGGUUGCAGCACGGAUGCAACGCUUAGCGAGGAUGAAGGAGCAGCUGCGGAAAUGAGAGAAAAAUGUGGGGGAAGGAUGGCUAUUUUUCAUUUUAAAAAGAUAUGGGGUCUGAGUGAAACAGAGAGGGAGGGCUGAAUUUCUAAAGAGACAGACGACUCUUACAGUUUUGAGAGUCAUGCAGAAGAGAGAGAGAUAGAGCAAAGAUGGAUGGGUUUGAAAUGAAAGCAAUGAGAGAUGUCUCUCAUUUUUCUAGAGAGAAUGAGAGGCUUUGGGGUUUGCAAAUCACAUCAUUAUCCCUUUCCAUCUGACAAGGGGAUGGGACUGGACAGAAGAGAGCCGUUUGGCUCUAUGAUCGAGGCUAGUUUAAGGGAAUCCAAAGCGUGUUCGAGAAUAGCUCGGGUUUUUCAAAUGAAAAAUGCAGCUGCUGUCCCAGCUUAUAUUGUAAUUGCUGCCAGGAUUUGACACAUAUGGGGCUUGUACGUGUUAGCUAGCGCGUAUUCGCAAGUUCCCAGCUACCAAGUCCUGCUUUCGAAUCCCCGAAGUGUCCAUUAGUGUUUUACUUCUCCACAUUUUUGUCAGUGCACCUCAGCAAUCGCAGUUCCACCCUCCAACUCUCUGGUGUGUCAAUUUUUAAUACUUUUCCUUUUCUUUUAUUUUCUGUUUUCUGUUUUACUUUAUUUUAUUUUAUUGUUUUUCUAUUUCUUUUUCCUAUUUUCUUUUCUUAGGAUUUUUUUUUUCUUUAUCUUUGAUUUUGCAUUCUGCAUUUUCUAGGAUUUAGUAGUUUUGUUUUUGUUCUUAUUUCUUUUGUUUAUUUUCCACACCUUGAGGACAAAGUGUGAAAUAAGUUUGGGGCUAGGAAAAUAACAUUUUAGGAUUUUAAUUUUUAUGUCAGUUAAAAUUUUCAUUCUUUUUAAGUUAAUAUCCAUAGAUUAUUUUAAACGUUAGAACAAAUGGACAUGGUAAAGAUUAAUCCCACAGUAGAGUCUUUUCUAUUUAUCGUUGCUUAGACACUAAUUCAUGAAUUAUACUUUGAACUUUGCACAUCACACCAACAUGGUUUGUGGGGAGUGAGAUUGAAACACUUGCUUUUAGUCUAAGUUUAAUUUUAAUUUUUGUUUUAAGUAAAGUUAGUUAUUAUUGUGAAUAAAGUAAUAAUUGUCUCACCCGAGGUUUUGCUUAGUAACCGGGCCAGUCUUGCCUAAUCAGCAAUGAUUUUCGCGUCAAACGGUAGAGUUUUGGCAUGGGGCAGGGUGGUUAGUUGGUUUCGUAGCCUUUUCAGCUCGGAUUAAUAAGUCCUUAGGAUUGUUUUACACCUAGUGCCCUAAAACCCUAAUGGUUUGGGAGUCAUUGACCUAAAGCUCGCUACAUGGGUUGGAUUGAAAGUUUAAGUGAACCGACAUUGCACGACCACUACUGUUACUGGAAAAAAAAAAGACAAAAAAAUUGAAGAGAAAAAGAAAAAAGCUAUAUUCAAAGUUAGUAUGUGUGAAAUAAAGAAGGACGAGAGGUAAGAGUUUUAGUCGAGUCUCCUUAACUAUGUUGGUUCACUUUACACCAAAGGAAGUUUGUGAAUUCUUUUCUAAUUGAUUCUAAAUGGCUUAGACUCUGUGGUGGGAUUGGUUGGAACUUUUGAAAAGAUGUUCUAGUUUUUAAAAUUUGCUAUGGAUUGCAACUUUGAAGGUGAACAUUUUUGUUAGUUGAGUUUUAGCUAGUUGUCUAGUUUGUUAAGUUUUUAUUUUUGUUUGAGUCUUGUUUUGCUUGAGGACAAGCAAAAAGCUAAGUUUGGGGGUAUUUUGAUGAGUAGAUUUUAUAUUAUAUAUUUUACCUUAAUCUUAGUAUAUUUUGGUUAAUAUUUUGGAAGAAUUUUGAUACUUUGAAUUGUAUUUUCAAUAUAGAACUUUCAACUUCCUCUGGAGCAAAACAGGACCAAAUGGACGAAUUUUGGAGUAAUUCUAGUUGGAGGACGUUCGUGAGUCACUUAGCUUGAUCGUAUCAAAAUUUGGGAUUUUUCCACCAAGCGGUUAUUUUCUGGCGAUAAAAUAAAGGAGCAAUGUGCAGUGCUGGAAAAUGACGUUUUUUUUUUGCUCAAAUUGCAUUUUUGAAGCCCAUGAUGACCUCGGAUGGGUUCGUAGCCUUCUGGAGAAGUGUUCAGAAUAUUCCAAACAUUAAAUCCAGCUAUAUUGGGCUAGUUUUGGAGCAGCUUAUGGGUCCAAAACGUGGCUGUUCAGAUUUUAGACGAAUUUUACCAUUUAAUUUAGCGUUAUGUUUCUUAUUUUAUUUGAUUAUUAAUUUUAGUUUCCUGAAGGAAAUAAAGGACCUGUUUUUUUAGGGUUUUGUGGGGAGGCUUAGCAGAUAUAUUGCUUGGCCGUCUACAAUUUUUCUCGACGCUUUAUUUUAUGCAAUUUUGGAGACAGAGAGAAUUGUUAGGGUUUUGGAGACUUUUUACUUGGAGGUGCUUUCAAUCCUUUUCUUAGUAAUAUUUUCUAUGAUUUCAAUUAUGAAUAUGCGUAACUAAUUCUCUUUUGCUAGGGCGAAGCCUUGAGCCUUAGCAUGAAUAUGUGAUUUUUAUUUAAUUGCUUAUGAUUGAUUGCAUGCAUACUUUGAAUUGUUAAUCACCGGGAUAAAAACUAUCUAAUUGUCUUAAUGCCCGAUCACCAUUAGGAUCUUUAGAAAAGUAAUUUGAUGCAAUUUUGGUCGGAAGGUUCCUUGAAAUUGACGCUGGCUUCUUGUGAUUAAUAAUUGUAAUUUCACUUAGGAUGAAUAUCACGUCUUAAGGAUUGCAUGGUUUUUUAAAUGAUUUUCAUAAAGCAUAAUGAGUCUUUCAUGUUCAGAUUUGAUUCGAACGUCCGGACGGGUUGCAUGUUAGAUAUGCAUUCUAUGUUGGGGGUUCCAAGUAGAAUAUGAAUUAGGAAAAUCUAACCUUCAAAGUGGCAUGUGUAGAUCAUAAGUAAUUGGUAAAAAUUCAUAGGAUUGCUAGGUGAUGGUGGAACCCUAGUGCUUUCUUAAUUUGAUUCUCCCAAAACUGUUUUAUUUUCUCUCUAGCUCUAAUAUUGCAGAUUGUUUAUUUUAAUUCAUUAAUUUCGUUUUUAUUUUAAUUAAGUUAUAAAAUCAAUCACCUAAACUUCUACUUUACAAUAAUUAAUUGAAAUUUGGUUUGUUUCGAAUUAUUUAAUAAUCCCUGUGGAGACGACCUUGCGAGAUCCGUUUAUACUACAAUAACCUUAUGAUUCUUGCAAGUAAAAUAGGAGAUUUAAGCCCGUUCACAUGAGUAGUAAAAAUCCUAUCAACACUCCAUUGAAUCACAGCACAAAAUCACAUAAUCUAACAGAGCCUACAUAUACGUUGACACGAUUUUGACACCAACGGCUGUGGGAGCACUUGGCAAUUUUAAUCGCUUUCUGGCUCACUUGAAGGAGGUUUAAUAGAUUGAUCGUCCAAUGAAUCAUCGUGAUGGAAGAGACAUCAACGUCAAACCGCUUAUGAGCUGAGAGGAAAAUGGUCAGCCUAGCGGACAUAAACUCACUGACACAAUUUUUCAAGAAUAGUUAUUGUCAACUAAAUGUACAUGGUUGUCCUGAUUAGAAUAUUUCACUACAAUACAACGGUUUUACAGUUUCAUGAUUUACUUUUCAUUUUAUUUGCUAUCUUCUUUCAAUCAUGUUAUGAACAGACGAUAAAUUUACACACAAGGGGCUAAUUACUGGAAUAUUGAAAGACGAAAUAAUGUAAGCAAACACCAUAGGCAGAUUUAAAAACAUGUUAAGAAUGGAAUAUUGUACAGAUAAGUUUUAAAUAGUAACAAGCAAUGGAUGCACCCAGAAUAGUACUAAUCCAUGCUGAAAUUACCAUGAAAAUACCAAUGUGUGCUUAAAUAUGCCCCAAAUUAAAUAGCACUUAUCCAUGCUCAAAUUCUCACAAAAAUAUAAAUGGCGAACAUUUUAAUACAUUCUAUUUCAUAGAAUUUUUCAUGUGGUUGACCUUAAAAAACAUGUUAGACUCUGAAGAUUUCCAAAUCUUUAUAUGAUUAUAUUACUUACUAGCCAGGUCAAAAAGUUUCAGCUGUACAAAUAUUAGCAAUGCAAAUAUGUAGUCUCAAAGCAGGUUCUUUACUGCAAGAGAUCAGCCUAGCGACUUAAUUUUUGCCCGUGUCAGCAACUACAGCCCUUAGCUUCCCAAAAAUUUAUCUGAUCACUCGAAUAAAUGGUACCUAUACAUACGAAUGUUCUAACUUGAUUUAGUUUGUUAACAGUGGAAUCUUUACAUAUUAAAAAAUUUCCCUUUAUGGGAGCUAUAGGUCUUUGGCUAGCUAAUUCAGUACUCACUUGUAUUAAAUCUCUUAUGGAUUAGAUCACAUGAUUGGUGAUUAAGCCAAAAGAACUAGGGACCGAAGCCAUUUGGAAGCUCCCGAGUCAAUGUCCAUCUUAUUAAAGAUGCACCAUGUCCACUCUCGGCAGCUGUAUAGAUGUAACUAAAACUGAGUGACAAUAUAUCCCAUCUUCAAGAUAAUUCCCAAGCUACUUAGAUCGCAGACAGGCUUAUUGAAGGUUAAACGUUUCUUUCAUUCUUCUGUUUUGUAUGGUGACUCUUAUACAUCUCCUUCAUCAAGUAUCAAUAAAAAGUUGGAGUCGUAAUUGGAUAUAUGGAGAAGAACAUAUACUCAUACAGUAAAUUUCAUAGUGGAGUUGUUUGAAUGAAAAUUUUGCAAUUUACUAUUUACCAAAUAACAUGCUAGUCAUGCAGAGAAAACUAAGGUUAUUGUCCAAUCUAUUGGGGAGACUACUACUUAACGUAUUAGUAUUCUCAUAACUAUAAAAAGGAUCCCAAUGGAAACUCAAUCACAAAAGAUCCUGAAGAAAUUAAUCCAAAAUUGUACAGGUCACGUCUUUUUUACUUCUCUUUUUUAUGAAAGAAAACAAAAUUACUACUUAUGGUUAAAUCAGACGGUUCAUCCACGACCAAGAAAUGUUUUCUUGGUCAUUAGCAGAAGACAAUACCAACCAGCAGCAACAUUCCUGGUCAUAUAAUUUAAAGGGAUGCUUUCUAUAUUGUAAUGUAAAAAGCUACGAAUAUUGCUACAGUUGUGAUUCAAGGGGAACAGUAUGUGUCUCCCUCCUCGAUCGAAAAAAAUGUACAAAAUCUGGAAAUUGUUUGGUUUACAAAAUUGUAACAAUCACACAGUUCGUGUAAUUGCUCUCCACAGUCCACCACUCUAUCACACUGCACUCAAGCAAGAUACGAGAUCAAGGAAAGCAUCUUGUCUGCAGGGAAUUGUUAGACCACCCAUUGGAUGAUCAAACCCAAAUUCUUAUUCAGCUUCACUUAGCAAGUGUUGAAAUCCAGGCUGGCAGAGGAAAGAUAUGGGAACCACAAAUCGUUGCUUCUCACUCUCACCAACAUAAACUGCAAAAUAACCUUUAGGGACAUCCGCUAAAUUAUAUGAAGCUCCUUGACUUGAAUUUGAAAGACCGUCGAAAAAGUUUCUUAGCAGGAAUUACAGCAGGCAGGCGGAACCCCAUUGUAGAAAAACUUUGGAGGAAAGACUAGCAAUCGAGUUUAUAAAAACUUGAAGAUCUCAAGGAACUAGCAACUGCAAAACAAGAAAGCUAUAUGCUUGAUCCCAUUCAUAUGGUGGUCUUGAUCCCAUUCAUAUGGUAUAUAUAGAUGAAAAGUCUUUCUGAAUUAAUAUCUUCGGCUAAAGAAAAAAUAUAUGGUAAAGACAAAGACAAUUCGAUGAAGUAUAGAAGGGAACAAGAGCUCAUUAGGGACCACAUACAUGGUUCUGUCUUCAAAUUAAUCAAGAAUUUAGGGAAAAUAUGUGGAGCCUCAAUCACUACCAAGGCUUCGGAAGAAUUGGAAGACAGAGCCAUGUGAACUUUGAAAUGCUAAUAUCUAUUGCCCCUCACGACAACUACUAGAGAGUUUUUCCCGACACAUCCAUCGUUUUAUCAGUUUGGGUAUGGAAACUUGUUGCUAUGAUAUAGUAGUUCAACCACAAAUCAAUUUGUAUUGGGUCCAUAUUUAUAGUAUGUUGAACUAGCAACCUGCCAGAAAAUGCCUGUUUUCAGCAUGUCCCUGAUUUUAUAGUUAUGUAUCUAUUCUUCCAAAACGAUUUGUUCGGGCAAAGAUUUCUCUGGAGAGGGCUCCUCGGCUCUUAUCACAGCUCCCUAAGGGAUUGGCACUUUGGAUGUGUAGUCGGGCUCUUGCUUGCUGAUGUGCUACAAGAAGAGGACAAAGUUAGUUUUGAAAGCUGCCUUUGUUAGGCCUUAGGUGUAGGCCUUGAGGCUUACAAUCAAAACUAACUAAGUGCUAGGCAUGCCACUACUAUCUCAGUAUAGCAGAUGUAGAACAAGAUUGUGUUUAAUCAAUUACUUACGCCCCAAGUUACUUGAACUUCUUGUUAUCAAAGGAUUGUCGCGGAUGGGUUAAAUCCACAUUAAGUUCUUUUUCUUGCCUUGUAUAUUCAAAUGAGGGGAGUGCAGAUCCCUUAAGUCAUUUAUUUGGUUCUUGAUUGGUUUUAAAUGAAAGCAUAUCCAUUAAGAUGACCAGAUCCAAAUGCAAAUGAGACUCUUAAAGUAUGAAAACAGAUGGAUAUGACUUGAAUACAUGUUGGAGAAUACAUUAAGUAGUAGAUCUAUUAUCUUAGAAAACAUACAAAGAACUUUAAGCAAGAUUUCACCUUGUCGGGUAAGGUUGAAUCUUCUUACAAUCACUUCUCUUUGAGUUUACAGAGGUUUUUAUGCUAAAAAGGGAUGGAUGGUAAACCAGUUUACCCAAGGGAAUCGACACUACACCACUAGGGGUAAUAGCAGAGCUUUAAACUAGACAAAAGAUAGUUUUUGUGAGGGAGAUAUCCUGAAAAUGAUCGAGAUCUGGGCUGAUUACAGCUUUUAGAUGCAAAUCUGGCUUGAGAGCAGAGUUUGUAUGUUUGUUUGUUUGAUUGGUUUUGUUUGUUUGAUUGGCUGAGUGUCCUUGUCUCUAGGGCUUCUUCCUCCUUUUAUAGGCAGAUUAGCCCGACUGCAGUGAUUUCACUCUUGCCUGAAAGCACUUGAAGGGUAGUGAGUCAACAGCUUUUUACUUGUGUUGCCACUGAAAAGUGCUUUUUGGCUGAUUAUGAGUUAGUCCCUAUCACUUGAUAUUUAAAUCAUAGGCACAUGGCCUAUGCAUUAAUGGGAAUGCACCAAUUUGUCUCUGGGCUUGAUGCUUGGGCCUCGGGCAAGUCUUCCUUUAAUUGGUAUCUCUGGGCUUCCAUACAUUUGCAGCCCAAUGUUCAAAUAUUAACCCAAACAGUGCCCCCUUUAAUCAUUGUUGAGGCUUCAAUCCCAGGUGCUAAUAAUGAUUAAAUAGUCGUCGCACAUUAACAACUGUUGCACGCCUUCACUUGGGACUCGCACUAUUUAAAGCAACCGUUAGUUAACAAGACCUUUGCACUAACCCACAAACUCCACCAUUAAGUAACCACUUAUUAUAAAAUCCUUACUUAACCCCUUCAGCAAAGCACCUUAACUAUAUCGAGCCUUCGAAUUCUCAGAAAUUCCAGUACGCUCUUGCCUUCUCAGUUUUUCAAUCUGUCCCCCCUUAAUUCCAACUUUUCCUCCUAUCUUCCUCUUAAAGUCUUCAAUGGCACCCAAAGUUGCUUGAAUUCAAUCUCCUUACGAGAUUGGUGAGGGGAUUUCCACAAUGCGCCAUCUUUUCAACGGCCUUCAUCACCCUCAGGCAGGCCUACACACCGAACUUUUAUUUGAGGAGAAAAGAGUGCACUCCUUAGGGCCUGUAAGGACUUCUCAGUUAUUGGCUUCUGCAACCUCCUUAGAAAGGUGCACUGCGUCUAACUUCUGUUUCAGGACUUCUAUGGUUUUGGGGAGUAGCCGGACAGCUUUAAUCGUACCGAUAGAUUCCUCGUAUGAAUAUAAAGCUAUCUUUCCUUGCAUUGGUAUCCACAAGCCUAGACAUCCUCAUAGCUUUUUCUUUUUUAAUCACUUCAUCAUCAUAAGUGUAUGCUUUGAGAUCAACUACCAUGACAAUGUUAAAGACUUUGGUAGGACUUGUGGAAGAAGGCUCUGCUAUGGAGGCAAGGAUUACAAAGGUGUCUUCGAUGAUUGAGAGAUUGGAGGAGUCAUGUCCGUAUGAAACAGGCUUACCAGAAGAUUGAAGAAGUCAAUAAAGUAUAUGUUUAAAGUUGAAGAUGCUAAAGCUCAGUUAGCCUUUUCAGGAUAGCUACCUUAGCCAAUGAUGUAAAACUAUUUAUCUGUAACUUCAACAUUAAUGAAAUGAAAAUGACUUCUUCAAUCCUCUUUAACUUGUAUUUUCUCCUUCAAGCUUAACUAUGAUGAGCAUAUAAACUGACUCUUGGAUCCCUUGUAAUGUCUUCUUCAAUGUAACAAUCUCUAACAUCCUAUAAGGUUGGGUGAUAUUUCUUUAAAAACUUAGCAUUGAUUGGAUUCCUCUGUAAGCUUCCUUCCAAAUCUACCAAGUAAUAUCCUCAUUUGUCCAAUACUUGGCUAAUAAUGAAAAGACCCUCUCAUGUCGGGCUCCACUUCCCAAAGCUUCUAAUCUGAGCUCCCAAAGGUAGAAUUACCUUCCAUAUUAACUCUCUUUUCUCGAAGUUCUUCAACUUCACCUUCUUAUUGUAUGCUCGGGCAACAGCCCUCUUCCCCUCUUAAAUUUUAUUUAGAGCUUCUAUUCCGGCUACAUCUAGAUCUUCAACUUUUUGACACAUAGCCUGAAUAUAUUCUUCACUGUGCAACCCAAACUGAUUUUGAACUCACAUUUAUUCUAUCAAAGGAUUCUUGGUAUGGCAAGCCUCACUCAAAUUCUUCUUUGUCUUUCAACCUGAGCAAAUGAGUUAGCGACUGAAUCUUGCCUGCUAAGUUAGCGAUGAAUCUCCUUAAAAAGUUGAUCUUUCCCAGCACCCUUUGCAAUUGUACUUUAUUGGUGGGAGAAGGUGAUUCCAUGAUUGCCCGAGCUUUGUUCUUGUCAAACUUUACACCCCUUUGAUGAACAAGGAAUCCCAAAAAGUUGCCCAACCUUACCCCGGAAACACAUUUCUUUGGAUUCAUUUUUAACCUAUGGAUCCUUAUUCUUGUUAAAGCUUAUAUGAGGUCUAUCAAGUGUUGUUCUUCAAUUUUAGACUUCACCAAGAUGUCAUCAAUGUAUACCUCCACGCUACGACCAAUUAAGUCAUGAAAAAUGGCAUUCAUCGCUCUUUGAUAGGUUGCACCAGUAUUUUUGAUCCCGAAUGGCAUGACUAAGUAUUCAUAUGCUCCCACAUGACCUGGGCACCUAAAAGUUGUUUUGUGUAUAUCUUCUUUAGCCAUUUUUAUCUGAUUAUAAUCGGUAUUCCCAUCCAUGAAAGAUAGGACUUUGUGUUUGGCAACUGCAUCUAUGGACAAGUCAGCCAUGGGCAUGGGAUAUUCAUCUUUAAGCGUGGCUCCAUUAAUGUUUCUAUAGUCAAUAUAACAUUGAACUGCAUUAGUUAAAGCCUUUAAUACAGGUACAAUGUUGGCCAACCACUCGACAUAUUUGGCAGGCUUAAUAAAUCCAGCAUUUACCAGCCUUUCGGUUUCUUCUUUAACUUUCUUUUCGAUCUCUUUCGACAUCAUUCAUGGUGCUUUCUUUACAGCUUUAUAUCCCUCCUUAAUAGGUAUCAUGUGUUCUACUAAGGUUGGAUCUAAACCCUGCAUCUCAGUGUAAUGCCAAGCAAAACAAUCUUUGAACUCGUGCAAAAGGCUAACAAUUCUUGCCCGAUCUUCCACUUCCAACAAGCUACUAAUCUGUAUAAGCCUUAGAUCUUCCUUAGACCCCAAAUCAUAGUCUCCAAGGGGUCUUGCACCUCUAGUGGUGGCUUGUCAAGUUUUGCACAUAAAAACUCAACUAACUCUGGAUUCUCAGGUAAGUCUUUUAGUUCAUCCAAGUCAUAUAUACAUUUAGACAUUUGUAUGGCCGUUUCUAACUCUUCUUCACCACUGUUCUGGAUACUUAAGGUUGCUUCCUCUUGUUCCUCAGUCAAGCUCUCUCUUCCAUACAUUAACAGUCUUUUGAUUAAGGACCUAACUGCAAUUACUUGGUCAUUCUUUCUUUGUUCCGACAUUACUAGUUUUGGGGAGUUGGGAAAAUAUGGGGUUUAUCCCAUUCUUCCCAGGUGAGGAACAAUCUUUGCUCCAAAAGCUUUUGGGCUGUCACUUUAGUCGGGCUACCGCUCUCAUCAGCUCCUAAGCUCUGGAGAAUCCCAAUGCUAGGAUUAUAAAAGUUGGCUUCUGCCACAUUGACAAUGGGAAGGAAUGGUCGUGACUUGGCCUCCACCAUCUCCCAAAAUCCUAGUCCCAUUGUUCAUUCCUCGUGGUAAACUGCCACUUGUUGAUGUAGGGUGGAAAGCACUGAAAGACUCUGAUGAAUCCAAUCUCGGCCCAGUAAAGCUCCAUAUAUGGAAAUACUAUCCAUAACUAAGAAGGCUAGCAUGAUCUGCUUGGAACCCAAGUCAACCUCCAAGGGUAAUAUCCCAUGAGUUUUAAUGAUGGUUCCAGAAAAACUGGAAACUAUUAAGUCCAUGGGGAUGAGAUACUACUUACUUCUACAUACCCUUUUCAUCUGCUUGAAAGGCAACACAUUGAUCGUGGCUCAUCCAUCAAUCAAAACCCUCUUGAGGGGUACUCCUUUCAGAUGAGCAGUUACAUAAAUGGGCUUAAAAUGGUUGGCUAAGGUCAAACUCGAGCAACUGAAGACCAUUAUGUCAAUGUACACUCUAUCAGGCUCUUUCCUUGUAAGCUUGGGCAAACUUGCUCUGCCCGACUCCUCUUUUCCUAUUUCUUCAACACUAAUAUGUGUCAUCAUAGGUUCUGUUGCUAAGUAAUCACCCUCAAUUGUGGCAGGUUGAUCAGGCUCAGCACAAAACAUGGCAGAUAAAACAUAUGUCAUGUUUACGUAGACGUUGCUAGGUCUAGAUAAGUCGUUUUUAAACCCAAUAUGGCCCAUGAACUCAUCCAACCAAGACUGUGUUUUUGCAGGCAGCAUUAAUUCAGGCAACGUUUCCUAUUGAGUUAUGCCACAGUUUGACACUUGUCAUAGGACUUCAUAAAGAGUAUCAACCAACAAUGGUGCGAGCAACCCCCUCUCCAGUGAGAUAGUUGCAAAGCUUAUUGGUUAUGGGCUUCAUCUUGGCUUUGGCAUCAUUACCAUAUCCUCUUGAGCUCUUCUCAAGAUUUUGUAUUUCCAAGGACAAGGGUUCUGUGCACAUGGUCUCCUUCCCCUUCGGUCUUGCUAUUAGUUUUCUCCACCACUUUCUUGGUUCUCCAAUGGAGUUGAUUUCUUCCCCCAUCAGGUUCCUUCUCAAACUUUACAUUCUCAGAGGUUUUUAAGGUAGUGGGGACUUCCAAUGAGUUCAUGUGGGCACUGUGUUGCCUCUGAACUCUCAUAAUCAUAGAAGCUCCUAUUUCUUUUACGGGUUUCCUGUCCUUUCCAACCACAUACCAUUUUCACCCGAGUCGAGCAGGAUUUUUCUUCGUGACUGGAUUCACUAUCAUUUCCCUUCUUCUGACAUCUCUACUGGCAUAGCUUAGUUAGGGUGGCCUCACAUCCACCCAUCUUGGCACUUUGGCUUCUCUAUCCUCCAUUUAUUCAGAAGCUUCAUAAUUUCUGAACACUUCUAACAAGUCUUUUGGUUGAGAGUCCACUCCCAACCUUUAGAAAACAUUCUUAGAGGUCUCUUUCUCAACUGCCCACAUGACAUUUUUGCGGGCUUCUUGCUCUUCUCUUUUCUUCUGAUCAGCUCCUGAUUUAUAAUGGCUCAUGACGCUGGGACUUCCAACUCACACUCGCAUUGGCACUUGUUACAAAACACCACUCAUUUGAUUAUGGUUGUUUUGGGCCUCUCCGGCAACUUGAUAGCUCCUUCAGUCGGCCUAUCAGCUUGCCUCCGUUCUGCUUUCACCUCCCAGGUAGCUUUUCCUUUCCCAUUUUCAGCCCACGUUAAGUUGAUCAUGUUUAUUGGGGCUUCUGGGAAAGGGUCAGUGUCAAUCAUCAUAUUGGCCUGUAGUUUCUCUAGCUACAACUUUUCUUUCAUUAUAAAGUCUUGUAUCCAAUCCCUGAACUGGACACAGUUGGUUAUGGAGUGAUUGAAAGUGUAAUGCAGCUUGCAAUACUUCUUUCCUCUCAGUUCUUCGUGCUUGGGCAGCUUUUUGGUGUUGUCGAGCAUAAUCACUCUCGCCGGAAUCAACUCCUCAUAGAUCUCUGUGGCCUUGGUCAAGUCAAAAUAAUAACUCUGGUAUUUGGGGGGCUUCAUGGGGACAAAUCCACCAUCAUUCAUGACCACUUUAUGGUCCUUGGCUAGCUGGACUAACCCUUUCACUAUUAAAGGCUUAAAAGGGGUAGUCGGGGUAGUCGUCUCUGCCGCACACAUCUCUGGGCUCCCACACAUUUGUAGCCCAAUGUUCAAAUAUUAACCCAAACGGGAUUUAAUUAUGCAAAUUUUAAUUUGAUCUGAUGGCAUCUGUGGUUAUAACUUGGAGACAAGUUCAUGUGAUUUUCCAUGAGCUAAUCUCUCUCAUGGUACCAUCAUGGUGCCUCUACCAAUCAGUCGUUUCAAAUAAUAGAUGGUUUAUGACAUAUACCCAUUUAUCUAUAUAUUUUAUGGUCUGGCUCAGAAGAAAAUCUCAAAGCCUUCUCUCAUUUUUAGAAGUCAACUGAUAUUUCCAUUGUUGCUUAAUUUUCUCAUUAAGAAAUUUUAAACUAUGGGCUUCUGGUUACUGGACACUGUUCAUGCUAAGAAAUUUCAAGUUUCUUCAAAGGCCUAGGAUAUUCCUAAUGAGAACUAUGAUGUAUUACUAUUUUUUAUUCUCUUGGUUAUCUUAUAUAUCUUAUGUUUGGGUUCUAGUGAACACUUAUGUAUUUGUUCCAAUGUCUUUGUAUCACUUGUCAAUUCUAGGUGUAUAUCAGGAUUCGGGCGUGACACCUCUCAACCAUGAUAGAUCGAACAUAAAAGGAGAGAUUUGUUAGCCUACGACUUUAUAUGCUCCGCUAUUGAUUAAAUACUUUGUAUCCAUACAAUCUCUGCUAUGCUAAGUAAUAACCGCCAUAUAGUAAGGCUUAGCUAAGUUCGCUAGCUAAAGCAGUUAGCUCUUAAACUCUUCGGUAUAAUACGAAUGAAACCGUGUAAUUAUAAGUUGUAAAUCCUGAACUGAGAUUUUCAACAAAAACAUGGUACAUCACAAUUCUAAAUAUUAUAAAAUUGAGCUCUUAUUUUCAAUAGCAAAUAGUAUUUCCCUUACAAAAAUGCUAUGAUCAUUUACUAAAAAAUUACUGCAACUUUUAUGUACAUCAUUCAAAAAUAUAGUUUUUACUCCCCACAAAAAUUUUCACAAGUACUUCCUAUAGCCAAUGUUACCAAAUCAUGUAAUUCUUCAUGAACCACGGUUGGCCUGGACAGUAGUAGGUAAGAGAUACUUGUAUUGUAAACAAACUAUAUAGAAACUAAAAUCUUUCUCUGUAAGCUUUCUUUUGUAUUGAAUGAAUAACUCAUUACAUUGUGACAGUAUAUAUAGCCUUUGGCUAUUUACAUUCACACCCUUAACAACCUUAACUAAUCACAACAAUUAAUAUAACUAACUACAUUUAGUUAUAAAAAAAAACUAUUUAUCAGUAACUGAAAUGGAUGACUUUUUAUGACUUGCCAUUCCUCCCAAUCCCCCUCAAGCUAAAAUUGGGAUCAAAGAUGAUACCAAGUGGAAGCUUGGAUUGCAAGUGAGCAAACCUGCUUUUAGACAAAGACUUGGUGUGUAUGUCAACCAAUUGAUAUUCAUUGCAAAUAAACUGCACUUUAACUAGAUUGGCAAGCACUAAUUCUUUGAUAUAGAGUAGUCUAUCUCAACGUGUUUUGUUCUUGCAUAAAAUACAGGAUUGGAAGCUAAAGAGAUAGCUGAUGUCACGCCCCAAUCCCGACAUACGUCCAGGAUCGACAUGUGACAUCACCAAGUAUCUAUAUCUCUAACAUACCCCGCCUUCGGGAUAUGUGCAAACACAACUCACAAUUCAACUACGUAGUAAUUUUUUGUACCCUUUAUGGCUGUAUCUAACCUCCUCGAUAGACUUCCUACGUACCCUACACAAGGAUCAAGCCAUUCGUAGUUCAUCCAAACAUUAUCCUCAACUUUUAUCACAGUACUUUUAAGUGGAAAAAUCAUAGCACUCAUCAAUCAAUUAUUAGAACUUGACAUGCUUGAAUUACUAGGUUUAGGGUUACAUAACAAUCCCACAUGACCAUUAAUAUUUCCACUUCAUCCAUCACAUAAAUCAUAAUGUUUCUACACAUAAAAUCACAAUACAUAGCAUGUAACAUAUUAAAGAAUCAAUAAAGCACAAUAUUAUUUUCUAGCCACAUCGAUCAACUAAAAUAAUCAUACUAAUAAUAAUCAUAUCCAGCGUCAUUCCACAAUCCUGUCAAUUAAUCAAUUCAUGAAUCAAAGAUGCACGAUCUUAGCAUUUAAUUACGUUAAUCAAUCAAUGCGAUAACAUAUCAUUUCACGAAUUUAACCAAGGAACUCUAUAUAAUUCCCUACUUGGAUUAUGAGUAAUAAACAUGAUAAUUCUAAUUUUUAUUCACAAGAUCUAUUGUGGGUAAUUCUCAUUCACUCGAAUCUAGGGUUCUAGACUAAUCUUAUGGGAGUUAGCAAAAGCAAGGAUUCCAGACCACUCAACGGAAUCCAACAACAUCAGGUUCCAGACCACUCAACGGAACCAAAAUACCAAAUGGUUUCUCAUAAUCUACCCAGACCAAUCAUAUGUAAAACCAGUGGCUACAUUAAGGGAAUGCUGCACUGGCAAAUCAGAACUCGGUUAAGCCGCGAAGCUCAGGUGAGUGACAAUAAUGCAAGUAUGUGAUAUUCAAUAAAAACAGACCAUCGAUCACAAUCUAUAAACAUCAAGUAUAGAAUCAUGCUUUAUGAAAUCAUAAUCAAGUCGCUGAAAACACCGAAAGAGUCACCUAGACAUCCAACAGCUUUUCUAAUUCAAACCACAAGAUUCUUAAAAACCAUCGUCCAUAUGUACAUUAAAAAUUAGGGUUAGAGGCAUGCAGUUCGGCCGAAGCCUACAUAAGUAAUCAAAUAGGAAGUGCCCCCCCCCCAAAGCGGAUUAACCAAGCAGAGCCACCCCUGAGAAAGUAACCAAGUAGGCAGUGACCUCCCAAUACAGAUUAACCAAGCAAAGUCACUCAUACAGCUGUUAGGAAGUGAUCACUCAAUGCGGAUUAACCAGACAUGAUCAAUCCUAAGCAUACAUGGCCAUAAGGAUCGCCCAACGCGGAUUAACCAAGCGCGAUCCAUAUAUAGUAUGGUCCCCCAAUGCGGAUUAACCAAGCAGGACCACUAGUGACCCCCCAAUGCGGAUUAAUCAAGCAAGGUCAAGAUAAUCAGGUAGGUAGUGACCCCCCAACGCGGAUUAACCAAGCAGAGUCACACCUAUAGAAUUGUUAGGAAGUGAUCACCCAAUGCGGAUUAACCAAGCAUGAUCACCCCUAAGUAUAAAUGGCCAUAAGGAUCGCCCAAUGUGGAUUAACCAAGUGCGAUCUAUAUAUAUUAAGGUCCCCCAAUGCAAAUUAACCAAGCACGACCAUUAGUGACACCCCAAUGCGGAUUAACCGAGCAGGGUCAUAGUCCUCUACUAGCCCUUAAUUUACAAAACAUUUCAAUAUGCAAUUCGAAUCACUUUUUCACAAAUAUUACCAAUCCAUGAAUCAAAUCACAUCUAAUAAAAAUAGAUCGAUGACCAAUUAUAAAAGAAUCACAUUUUAACAGAAAAUACAUUUAUAAAACCAAGUCAUAUCCGCUAAGGAUAUUAAUAUAAAGAAUUGGGUAAUCACCAUAUCACAUAUAUUAAAGUCACUCACCGAGACUAGUCCGCAAGGCUUCACUGAGUCUCUAGUAAUACUAAUUUUAGUAAUUCAAAUGUUUCAAGACCUGUUGACCAAAAGUCAACGAUGGGGGUCCACACCCUAGCAAUUUAAUUCGGAAGAUCCACACAUCGUAAUCUAGAUCUGUAACUUCCUAAGGUCCACAAUAUGCUCAAAGAACAACAUACUAAAAUCUCAUCGCAAUCCGACAGUCAGAUCUCCGCCAAUUGCUAGAAUUAGGUGGCGGUUAACAAUUAAUUUUACUAACUUAGAAAUCUAAUUCGGAAAGAUCCGUACGUCAGAUUCCCAAUCCGUCAAUUCCAAUUAUCAUCAAAUAUUAUGUUCCAUAAUGCAUUAGGGUUUGGUGACGAUCCAACGGUCGGAUUGCCGAAUCAGAUUUUGAUCAAGUAAUGUAUUGUAAUGAAACUAACUUCAAACAACCAAAUUACAUCAUACGGAUAUCAAUUAUGGAAUUAGGGCAUCUAAUUCAACUCAGGAAGACAUCAUUGGCCCACUGGCUCUGCGCCGCCGCACGCGCCACCAUGGGUGGUGGUCGACCACCCAAUUUGUCAAAAAAUUCAACUAUUUUAAAAAAUUACCAAAUUUUACAAACAAUUAGAUCUCAGUGAGGGGAUAAAUUUUCAUGCCUAUGGCCAAGUCUAAUUCAACCGGGAAGUGUCCCAAUUUCAUCCAAACUUGCCGGAAACCCUAGAAAUAGGUGUUCCUCGAUUCAUCACCAAAACGAACUCUGACGCCUCAUCCAAUGCUUGGGCCUUGCUCCAGGGGUUGAGGGGAGUCUAUUGGUAGUGGUGAUUGACGGUAAUCAUUGUCGGAAUCACCGUAAAAUGAGAAAACUCGCUAAAAAACCCUUGGCACUUUGUGGCUUUGACCUAGACAAAUGGAAAGGAACAAUGGAAAUCUAACACUACAAGGAUAUAUGACUCAUCAAGAGCUUUCCAUAGACACCAAGAUCACCCAAAAUGGAAGUCGGAUGAAGAAGAUAUGGUCGGGUCAAAAAUGGUGGUUCGCGGGUGAAAAACAACCCAUUUUCCUUUCCCCUCCUUUUCUUGUUUUCUGAUUGAGCUAUCCCCUCGUUUUCUCUCCCGCACUCUCUCCUUUCUCCCCCCUCCCUUGUUGCCACUUGGCAACUUCUAAACAUUUAUUUAUUUAUUUUCCAACAACUAAAAUGUCUCUAAUUUCUUCGUUAUAACUCCAUUUCAUGAACGGUUUUCGCCUACGUGUUCAUGAGAUCAAGUUCUAUUCGAAAAUAUAAAUUAUGACCACGAAAGGUCUACAGAAUUUAAAUAAUUAAUUUUCAAAACUUCAACCCUCAUUUUAAAUUAUGCCAAGAAACAAUCAACAUUUUAAAUUAAUAUAAAUUCCCGAAAAAUAAUAUAAAAUCGCAAUAAUACAAUUACGUAGAUUAUAAUAGUGAAACCCAGGAACGGGAUUUCGCAGUUGAGAUAUUGUCACACCACAAGGUAGGCAUUUUAAGGGGAGGAAACUGAAGAUCAUGGAAGAUUUUACAAAUCCAAGUGAUCUUUGCAGCUAUGUAAGCUAAGGAUUGAUACUCAACUUAUGUGGAAGAUCGAGCAACUGUGCAUUGUUUCUUGGCACUCCAACUUAUGGCAUUUGAUCCAAGAAACACACAUUAUCCAUUUGUUGAUGUCUGUCAAAUGUGCAUCUUGCCCAAUCAGCAUCUGAGUGUGUUGAAAGAUGAAUAAGACCCUUUUUUGAACCAUAAACCAUGAAUGAUAGUGCCUUUAUGAAAUCUGAGUACUCAUUUUGCAGCUUGAAGGUGUUGAUCCCUUGGAGCAUGCAUGAAUUGACAUAUUUGGUUCACAACAAAUGAAAGAUCAGGUUUGGUCCAUGUAAGAUAUUGCAAUCCUCCAACAAUUGAAUGACACUUAGUAGGAUUGAGCAGAAGAGGCCCAUUGUGAUCCAGUUUCUUAGAACCAAGAGGAGUACAACAAGGUUUUGCACCUUCCAUUUUGUUUUCUUGAGAAGAUCAAGCAAGUAUUUAGUUUGAUGAAGAAAAAUACCUUCAGAUGUUCUAUGCACUUUCAACCCAAGAAAUCGUGUAAUAGACCAAGGUCUUUAACAGGAAAAUUGGCAUUGAGUUUUUGAAUGAAAGAUUGACAGAGAUCAGUGUUUGGACCAAUGACUAAAAUGUCAUCCACAUAAACAAGAACAAUAACCAAUGCAAGUACAUUAAGAAUAGACAAAGAUGCAUCUGAUGAAGAUUGCUUGAAUCCAAGAGUGAGAAGUAAUUGGAAUAGUUUGUCAAACCAAGCUCUAGGAUCUUGUUUGAGACUAUAAAUGGAUUUUCUUAACUUGCAAACAUGGCUUGGAGAUGUUGGAUCAACAAACCUUGGAGGUUGUUGCAUAUAGACAUCCACCUUUAAAUCUCCAUAAAGGAAGGCAUUGCUUAUGUCUAAUUGGUUUAAAAACCAAUUGUACUGAACUACAAAAUGUGAGCAAAACUCUAACAGCGACUAUCUUUGCAACUGGACUAAAGGUUUCUUGAAAGUCUACUCUUACUGAACCUGUUCUCUCCCUUCAUUUUAACUUUUAUUAAUAACAAUAGUUUAUUAGGGAGAAUGCCAAGUCAUCCAUUAGGGAGAUUGCCAAGUCACCCGGUUCUCUCCCUAAUAAACUAUUGUUAUUAAUAAAAGUUGGAAUGAAGUGGAGAGAAUAGGUUCGGUAAGAGUAGCACAAAGCAUACUAACGAGAGUGGUCAGCCUCAUACCAGGCAAGGUACUCAGGGUUAGGAGAAGUAGUGACCACUGGUGGAACAACUAUAGAAGUAUCAGAAUCAGCAGAGACAGCAGAGGAGGCAACUGGAGCAGUGGUGGUGAUGACCGGACGAGACGAAUAUGAACCAUGAACAAAAUGCCAGAAAUGUUGGCCAGUUAAAAAUUGCUUGACCUGACUCUCCCAAGGAAGAUAAUUUGUUUCAGAUAGUUUGACAGAAGCCAAGGUAGAGAUAUUGGGAAUGGUGAUUGAGGAGGAAGAUGCGGUUGCGGAAGCCAUGGAAAGAAAAAGGACCAAAGCUCGAAUACCAUGGGAACUUUCUAUAUUUCAUUGAUUAUAAAAUAGGGCCUAACAACCUUAUCUACAAUUAUAAUCUUCAAUUACAUUCUCCUUCAGUGAGUACAUUUUGCACUCACAGAAGGGAAAAAUAUUUGUACAGUAUGUAGAAAAAAUUUUCUUUACAAAAAUGUAAGCAACUCAUGUAUUUACAAUGUAUUCAAAACUGAGAAAUAAUAUCAAUGAAGGUAUCUUGUCUGCGGGGAAUUGUUAGACCACCCAUUGGAUGAUCAAAUCCAAAUUCUUGCUCAGCCUCACUUAGCAAGUCUUGGAAUGAAGGUUGGUUAAGGUGUGAUACAGGAAUGACAAACCGCUGUCUCUCGUUCUCUCCAACAAAAACUGCUAAAUAACCUUUUGGGACAUCUGCUAAACUAUAUGAGCCACCCCGACUUGGAUUUGAAAAAGACCGCCGAAGAACUUUCUUUGCAUGAGUUACACUUGGACAACGGAAACCCAUGGUUUUAUGUCUCUCUAGAAAAAUGUAUGGUGCAAGUUUAUAGGAGCAAGAAGAAGAAAAGAGUUGAGAAGAUACAGAGACUUGAAUGGAUGGCAAUGAAAGUCUCAUGAAAUAUAUGUAGUUAAAGUUUUAUGUAGGAUGUCCCCUGUUGAAAGAAAUAUGUGGUGACGAUUAAGACCACCUUGAUGGGGCAUAGAAGGGACACUGAUCAAAUGGUGCUAUUUUCCACCUCAACUUCAAUAUUUUAGGUGAAAUGUUAAUGGAGUUGCUAAACCAAGAGAGUUCAAUCUACUUAGUAAGAUAGCAGAUUUUUCCUUUAGUUUCUGAGAAUGAGUUGAAAGUGCUUGAUCGUCUAAAAUUGAAUCAUCAGUGUUCCUUCUCUCUAGUGUUCCAAUAAUACGGUUUUCUGGUUAGAUCACAUAGAGUCAAAACAAGAUGAGAUCUAAUUUCGUUUACUCGUUGAUGAAUCGAGGAAGCCACAUCCCUUCUUAUACAUUAGGCCCCAUAUGCCAGAUUUUCAUAGCACCACACAUUCUUGUUUGUCAAUUAGCAUUUAUUAAAAUUUGAAAGAAACGCAAUUUAUCCACAAAUUCUUGUUUGAUAGGGCAUACGAUGCACUACUGUUGGUCCACUGGUUUAACAUCCAGUGUGCAAGCAAUUGAUUAUUCGAGAACACGUGGAUGCAACAAAGGGUUAUCCAGUUGUUAGGAGGCCUAAUCCAGAAAAGUAAUUCGUGAUUAGUGAUUACCAGGCAUGUCUAAAGCAAAAUGCCUCUUAUCUAACAGGCGUAAAUAACUCCACUGGAACAAAAUUCACACCUAGUGGUCCUUGUGUUGCCUGUUAUCCGGAGGAGGUAGGGAAUGCUGCUUCCACACAACAAUCUGUCAGAAAAAUCUGUCGGAGUAGGAGUUACGUUGGGAGUUAGGUGAGCAGCAAGACAAGACCAUGUGAUUUGGUAUAAGCUAGUUUCCCUCAUCGUUUGUUUUUGCAGCGCCUCUUGACCAAUAAUUUCAUGUACCAUAUGAGUUUUUCGCAUACCCUUUCAUCUAUAUAUACACGUGAUCAAGUUCACAAUGGCAUUAGCAACUCAAGUCUCCACCAUCCUAAGAAUCAAAGCAUUCUCUUUUUUCCAAGUCCUUCCAAUUCCUUUUCUAGUUCUUUUAUCCCCUUGAGAACAAAAAUCCAUGGGUUUCCGGUUGCCUGGAAUUGUUAGCGCCAAGAGAAGUCUCAUCCGGUCUCUAUCUAAUUCAAAACAGACAGCUUCAAAGACCUUAGAUAUCCCAAAAGGCUAUUUUGCUGUGUAUGCUGGGGAGAGACAGAAGAAGCGGUUUGUGAUUCCAAUAUCAUACUUGAAUGAUCCUUUGUUCCAAGAUUUGUUGAGUCAAGCUGAAGAGGAAUUUGGAUAUGAUCAUCCCAUGGGUGGUAUCACAAUACCUUGCAGCGAAUACACUUUCCUUCAUCUCACUUCCCGUCUAAGUGUGUGAGUGAACACUAAAGAAGUGAAUAUGCGAUCCACUUUCAUGUCCAAAAGGAUCCUCACUUUGGAACUCACUGAGCUACGAUGAAGGAGAGGCUAUGGUCAAUCAUCCAUUGAAUCAACUCACAUCCAGUGUUGAGGUGAAGCCAUCAGUAAUACUGAAGCAGCCAGCUGUGAUCUGAGAAGAAAGUCAGAAAAUUAAUGAAGCCGACAAACGAAGAUACUCAUUCAAGAUAUAAUCAACAAAACCCAACUUUCCAAAAACGAUGACUCAAAACUUUUCCACAGGCGCCGUUCAGAGUAUCUGACAUGGGAAUUUAAAUUAACCCAAUUGGUUUUAUGUUGGCUGCUCUAAGUCAAUUAAAUGUAAACUGCUCCGCUGCUCUUGAGCAAAAUAUAUUGGAAUAUGAAAUAAAUUUAUAUCUUGAUCCAGUUUUUUUGUCUUGAUAUUUUAAUUAUACUUCUAGCUUUGGUGCCUUAAAAAAUAAUUAUACAAUGUUAUCUGUUAUAUAAUUAAAUUAUCAAUGACAACAGAUUUUCUCAAGAAAUGACUUUCAAUUAGUUAUACUUUGUACUUCAUAUAAAUCUGUGGUGCCUCAAGUAUUAGUGUUGGGCUUCCACUCAAAUAAAGUUACCAGAUAUAUGUGCUAGACACAAAUAAUAUGGGGAAUUUCUACACUAUUUGCCUUUUAUCCGAUAAUUUAAUCCUAUGACUGGGUAAAAUGUUUUCACCGUGUCAGUGCAACUUUCAGAUAAAAAACACUGGGAUUGUCGUAGAAUUUUUUUUGAAAUUUUCCAAAUAAAGUCUUUCAAAAUUCACAACUAAAUGGAUCGGCCCUUAUAGUAGGUAAUACUUAACAUACAGGUCUUAAUAGACUUGGAAACAUUUAUCUGGAAAAGUUGUAUAUGGCAGCAAAUUGUGUUUGGAUUGACAAGAGACAUAAGCAUUGAAGGAUCACAUGGCUGUGUCUUCCGUCGCAGUCUAAAAAAUUUGGUAGCAGUUGAGUCUAUAUACUUGUUGGUGGACCUUGUGCCCUACCAAUUUUAUGACUACCUGCAAACCACAAAACUUAUUUGAAAUUUUAGAGAUGUGUGGAUAGGAAAAUCCCCUUGAGACUUCCUUUCAAUACAGGAUUUUCAGACGCAUUUGUCUACGAUUACUUAACAGAACCAGAUUAGCAUUCUUUUGAUGGCAUCAAUCUUACAAUUUCAGACGUAAUAUGACAAGUUAGCGGCAGUAUGUACCUACUGCAUGUCCAAUAUGAAUCACUUUACGUACGUAAAACUCUCAGCCAGCCCAGGAACAUUGCCUCACCUGAUUAAUCAACUUUUUCCUGCAAAUUGUUCUUUCAAGAGUCCGGUAGGCAAUUAAAUAUUUCCUAUUUCAGGUCCACUGAUAUUUAGCUUCAAAUGGUGCUCGAACAUUAAAUCAGUACAAUUUGUUGGUUACUGUCUCAUGGAAUCUUCUAGAUUGCCAAAAUAAAAGAAAACACCUCCACAGCUUGUUGAGAUCGACAGGAUACUAGAUGAAACAACAAACCCACAUGCUAGGGGUGGAUUUUGGUUUGGGUAGAGCCAUGAAGUAUGGAGUGCCAUUGGUGUCUUCAUUGAGUGAGUAAAUGCAAUUUAUUAGUAGACCUAAUUAAGAAUUUUUGGAGUACUAGUCCAAUUAAUCGGCAGUUUGAAUUGGUGGUCACAUAGACAAGUUCCUGUCUAAAUCAUAUAUGCCUCUUACCCAAGGUAUAAAAUAUCAAUCAUAUCGGAAAUAUCGGUAGUCCAAAAACACGGAAAUAUCGAUGAAAAUAUCGGGAUAUUAUCGAUAUCGAUAAAAAUUGAAUAAAAACCACGGAAAUUGUAAGAAAAACUUGGAAAUUUUUAUUGAAACUUUGCAGGGUGUUUAUUUAGUCAAUUAUCUAUUAGUUUAUCACAAAAAAUUGGAAGGAAAUGCAUUGCAUGAUGGAUUUAACUGAUUUAAGUUGAUUAUAUAGCGAGCUGGCAAACAUUGUGAGUGUAGAAAAUAUGUAGUAAUUAAUGAAAGAAGUUUAAACACACCAUAAUCAUUUAUAUAUAAUGAAUUAGUACAAUAUUUUACACUUUAUACAUUGCAUGGUAAGAUACAUGAGUGACUUAGUACCACAUAGAGUUCCUAUGAGGUUCAAAUUUUUCACUAUCUUCAUCAUCUCUAUGUGUAGAGUAAGUGUAUUGUGAAGAGUAGUUAUCAAAUGAUAAAUCCCCAAAAUAGUUUUGCAUGUAAUUGUUAACAUACCACCCAUAUGGAUCCAAGAUUGGUUGACGUUGUCCAUAAGCAAAAUCAUUUGAAGAUUGAGUCUCGGAUUCUUUCCAUGAGUCGCUCGAUUCCAUCCCAACAGGAAUGGGAUAUGAAGGGUAGGGAAAUGGUUGGUUAUGAGUAUAAUCAUAGUUACUACUUCCCACUCCAACAGAGUCCGAAGUUAUAAAUAACGAGUCAUCUUCUUGACUUAACAAAAUCCCCUUGCCUCUUUCUCUACGAGUAUAGUCUUUCCCUAUGGCACUAAUUCCUGGUCUUGCCCGCCUACUGCCAUGGUCCUCAUCCUGUGUUGCAUGCGUGAAGUUUGCCUCACCAGUGAAGGGGCUCAUAAAUCCGGGAGGUGGUCCAACAUAGUUUCCAUAUCCACUACUACCUCCAGCUCCACCUCCGGUGGUAGGUGAAACCACCAUUAUUUUGUCCACGGUAUGAAAUUGUACAAGUUGUAAUUGUAAAAGUUGUCAGGGUUUUGAAUUAUUUAGAUGCUUUUGAAUGAAACCACCAUUAUUUUUGUCCAUGGUCUGAAAUUGUACAAGUUGUAAUUGUAAAAGUUGUCAGGGUGCAAACCACACACGCACACAGACACACGCCACCACACACGCACACAAACAUCACACAUGCACACAGAGACUCUUGAUCAUUUUCUCCUCCCUUCUCUCUUCUCCCUUCUCCCACACACACACACAGAGAUUUCUCGAUCCUUCUCUCUUCUCCCUUCUCCCACACACACGCACAGAGACCUCAGUCUCUUGAUCCUUCUCCCACAUGGCCUUCUGCUCCUCCUUCGCCUUCCUCCUCAUCCGCGUCUUCCGCCUCGUUGGCGCCGUCUCUCUCUCGAAACUCUCAUCUCUCUCCUUUCUCUCUGCACCAAGACCCACAUACACACACGCACAUCAUCGCACCUGCUUGAGGAAGACACCCAUCGUCAUCAGCAACCUCGUCUUUCUCCCUCUCCUUCUCGUCUCUGCAACUCGACGAACGUAGGAACCCUCCGGCGAGUUUCUUGAAUUUUUCCAUUUAGGUAAGCUUCGGUUUACCUCUUUCUGUUCUAGAUUGAAGCUUAGAUGUGAAAUUUAAGUUCUAUCUCGUGUUUUUGCAAGGUUUUUGGGACGAAAUCAGCUCGGGAAUAGGCACAUCCAUCUCCGGCGAGGCCGUGGGUGUCGACGAACUUUCCGAACACCUCCGACCGUUUCAUGACAAACGGAAGUUAUAAAAACAUUUCUCUCAUCUUGUAUUUCAUUUUGAUACCUAGAUCGAAGUCUAGGGUGCUCUUUUACAGUCGCCCGGAGCUGUAGAAGCUCCGGCGUUCUUCUCCGAUUCGUACAUCUCUAAAAUAUCGCGAUAUUAUCGGUAAUAUCGCGAUAUUGUCGAUAUUAUCGAUAAUAUUGUGAUAUUUUGACGAAACCUCAGUGGAUAAGUAUUAAAAUAUUGGUAACUCAAAAAAUCGAUAUUAUCGGCGAAAUAUCGCCUAUAAUAUUGGCAUUUCAGACCUUGCUCUUACCUAACCCACAUGAUUCUUUGGGAUGGAAUCACAUUUGGUGGUCCUUCUUGUUUGUUAUACAUAUGUGGUAGGGAAUAGGGAUGGGCAAUGGUUAUGGCGGGCGGGUAACCGCGAUUAUUUACCCAUAACUGUUUAUGCUCGUACUCGCAUAACCGUUUACCUGUUGGGUAAUUGCCUAAACGAUUAUGCCCAUACCCAUAACAGUUUAUAAACGGUUAACCAUACCCAUAACUAUAUACCCAUUUAACCGUAACCGUUUAAUACCUGUUUACCAACUUUUUAACCCGUUUAUCUUUUCUUUUUUUUACCGUUACCCAUUUUUUCACCCAUCUACAUGUUUUUUAACAACUUGAAAAUUAAAAAAAAAAUUGUCAUAAUUUUCUUUUUUUUUGACACUUAAACACCGUUAUAGGUACAUUCAUCAUACAUUUCCAUAUUUUAAUUUUUGAAGUCCUUAUAUCAUUCGAAUAAUUGAAAUAAUAGUUUACAGACGAUAUUUAUAACUGUUACCAAUGAAGGUAAAAAUAAUAUUUUCUAAGUAUUAUUGGGUUACAAAAUUGUUUAGAAGACAUUUCUGUCAAAACAUUUAUGUCAAUUUCAUGGUUACCCACAAGGAAUUUAAAUUAAUUUGGCCAAUUCCUUGAUGAUGAGAAUCAUCAUUCAUGUAGCAGUGUUAUUGAGAGAAGAACCGAUGAAUUCCUUGCUAAUUUAUUGGAUGCUAAGUAUUAUUGGAUCGAGAAUAUGGUUUGUGUUAGUUUUACCUAUAUAAAUAAAUGGGUAAACGGUUACCCGUUUAUAACUGAAGUUAAUACCCAUAACCGCUUAUUUAAAUUUCGCGGGUAAACGGUUAUACCCAUAACCAUUCAUUUAUCUAAACGGUUACCCAUAACCGUAACCGUUUAAUUUAAAUGGACGAGUAACUGCAGUUACCCAUAACCAAUGAUUAUUUGCCCAUCCCUACCAAUGAUCAUGUCGGCCUAUCUUCAUUUUUGCAACAUUUUUCUUGAUUAGUUGGAAAGACAAGUCCAUGUGAUUUUCCAUGAGAAAAUGAAUAAAACACAUGGCUCUGCUACGGUCCUUCACCAAUCGUAUAUUUUUUCCAUGACCGAUGUCCUUGAAAAAUUGGAAGACAUAACCAUGUGAACAUAAUUGCUUGAGCAGCUGGGUCUCUGGCCCGUCCGCAUUCAAUUGCCUCCAACUUGUACACGAACGUAUCAAAUUCCUAACCUAUAUCCGAACCAAAGAGAUUGAGUCCUCACAUUUUAUAUAAGCUAAAACUGUUGAAAUAGCACCAUGGGAAAAAAAAUCUUGUCUCAAGCAUGUCUUUGAUUUUUUUAUAGACCUUCAUUUAAGAGAGGCUGGACACUGGGUUGCUUUCGUUUGGUCAUCGACUCGUGAAGUGUUGUUGAUAACUUGUAGACAAGUCCAUGUGAUUUUUGAUGAGCAAACUCUCUCUCACUUGGGUCCAUCCCAGUGCUUCAUCACCAAUCAUUUUAGGUAACUGACGGCUUGCAGCAUACCGCUUUAGCUAUAUAUGCACACAGUUCAGGAGCAAACCAACACAAGUCUUCUAUUCCCAAGCAUAUCUUAUCAAAGCACAUUCUGUCCUGAAAUUCAUUUGAACUCUUUAUUGUUCCUUUUUACAGAAAUUUUAAAACCAUGGGUUUCCGAUUUCCUGGUAUUAUACAUGCCAAGAAAAAUCAAGUUUCUUCAAAGUCAUUGGAUGUUCCAAAAGGCUAUCUUGCUAUCUACGUUGGGGAGAGCCAGAAGAAGCGGUUUAUUAUUCCUGUGUCCUACUUGAACCAACCUUCAUUCCAAGAUUUGUUAAGCCUAGCUGAAGAUGAAUUUGGAUACGAUCAUCCAAUGGGUGGUAUCACAAUCCCCUGCAGUGAAGACAACUUCCAUCGUCUCACCUCAGCUUUGCGGUAUAUGUAGAGAGGCUACAUAUACAUCGAAACGAUUUUGACACCAACGGCUGUAGGAGCACUUGGCAAUUUUAAUCGCUUUCUGGCUCACUUGAAGGAGGUUCAAUUGAUCCAUCGUCCAAUGAAUCAUUGUGAUGGAAGACAACAUCAACGUCAAACUGCUUCUGAGCUGAGAGGAAAAUGGCCAGCCUAGCGGACCUAAACUCACUGACAAUUUUUCAAGAAUAGUUAUUGUCAACUGAAUGUACAUAGUUGUCCUGCAAGGAAAACUGAGAUUAGAAUAUUUCAUUACAAUACAACGUUUUCACAGUUUCAUGAUUUACUGUUCAUUUUAGUUGCCAUCUUCUUUCUAUCAAGUUAUGAACAGACGAUAAAUUUACACACAAGGGACUAAUUCCUGGAAUAUUGACAGACGAAGUAAUGCAAGUAAACAUGGCGGAUUUAAAAACAUGUUAAGAAUGGACUAUUGUACGGAUAAAAUUUUAAAUAUAACAAGCAUUGGAUGCACCCUGAAUAGCACUAAUCCCUGCUGAAAUUACCAUGAAAAUACCAAUAUGUGCAUUGAAAAUGCCCCAAAUUAAAUAGCACUAGUCUAUGCUUAAAUUCUCAAAAAAAUAUCAAUGCAAACAUUCUUAUACAUUAUUUUAUUUCAUAGAAGUUUUCUUUUGGUCGACAUUAAAAACCUAUUCAGGCAAAUCCCUUAAGACAUGCACCAAACGUAUUAACCAUGCUAGGUUCUCAAGAUUUACAACUCUUUAUAUGAUUAUAUUACUUACUAGCCUGGUCAAAAAGUUUCAACCAUACAGAUAUUAGCAAAGCAAAAAUAUAGUCUCAAGUAGGUUCUUUACUGCAAGAGAUCAGCCUAGAUACUUAAUUUUUGCCAGUGUCAACAACUACGACUCUUACCUUCCCAAAAUUGAUCUGAUUACUCGAAUAAUUGGUACCUAUACAUACGAAUGCUCUUACUUGAUUUAGUGUGUUGACAGUGAAAUCUGUACGUACUAAAAAAAUUCCCUUUAUGGGAGCUACAGGUCUUUGGCUAGCUAAUUGAGUACUGACUUGUGUUAAAUCUCUCAUGGAUUAGAUCACAUGAUUGGUGAUUAAGCCAAAAGAACUGGGGGCCGAAGCUAUUUGGAAGCUCCUGAGUCAAUGUCCGUCUUAUUAAAGAAGCACCAUGUCCACUCUCAGCAGCUGUAUAGAUGUAACUAAAACUGAGAAUAUAUCCAUCGUUUUACCAGUUUGAGCAUGGAAACUUGUUGCUAUGAUAUAGUAGUUCAACCACAAAUAAAUUUGUGUUGGGUCCGCAUAUGUAGUAUGUUGAACUAGCAACCUGGAAGAAAAUGCCUGUUUUCACAUGUCUCUGAUUUUGUAGUCAUGUAUCUAUUCUUCCAAAAGGAUUCAUUUAUGCAAAUUUUAAUCUGAUCUGAUGGCAUUGGUGGUAAUUAGUUGGAGACAAGUUCAUGUGGUUUUCUAUGAGCUAAUCUCUCUCAUGGAACCAUCUUGGUGCCUCAAUCACCACUCAGUCGUUUCAGAUAAUAGAUGGUUUAUGGCAUAUACCCAUUUAUCUAUGUUGGAAGAAUAAUGUUGUUGGAAGAAUAAUGCAAGCUUUAACAGCUCAGCUUAGGGAGCUUUCGGCUAGUCUUAGUGCUAGUGUUAGCUAUUAUUCCCUCAUCAUUGUAAAGCUAGUUAGUGAGAGUGGAGGUCAUCAUCAUGCUUGCUUAGCUGCCAUUAUUCUCUACCUUUUGUCCUCUAUUCUUCUUUCCCAUUUCUUCUUCUAUAUAUGUUUGAUCUUGUAACUGUUUUAUACAUGAAAUAUACAUAAAAAAUUCAAUAUGGUAUCAAAGCAGGAACUCUAAAUUCCUGACUCUAGUAAUCGUUUCCGCUAAGUUUCUUUUGCUCUAAGCCAAGAUGGCUGAAGAACUCUCUGAAACUGAAAGCUCGAUGGAUGCUCCAGCAUUUUCUGACGUUGAGGUCAAUCCUAAUCAACGUCUUAGUUCUGUUUUGUUGAAUGAAUUCAACUACCUUCCCUGAAGUCGUGCAGUAUCUCUUGCACUUGGAAGAAGAUCAAAGCUUGGCUAUGUAAAUGGUGCUAUUGAAGCUUCAGUAGUCACUUCUUCUACAUACGAGUCGUGGCUGUGCAAAGAUCAGUUGGUCAUGUCUUGGUUGCUCAAUUCAAUGGAGCGAAGGAUUGCUGAAAUUUUCAGUUAUUCUGAGUCAUCCAUGCAUCUCUGGAAGCAAGUAAAAGAGAUGUAUGGAAAUCAAAAUAAUGCUGCCCGUGUUUUCCAGCUUAAGAAGAAUCUAGCAAGUCUACAACAAGGAAGCAAAGCAUUUGUUCAACAUCUUGGCAGUCUUGCAACAUGUGGAAUGAGCUCGAUGUUUAUCGUCCUCAUACCACUAAUGCCACUGUGUUGAUCAAGAGAGCAGAAGAAGACAAUUUUUCAACUCUUGGCAAGCUUAGGUCCAGAGUUCGAAGACCUCAGAAGUCACAUCUUAAUGAAUGCUGAACUCCAUUCCUUCACUGGUGUGUGUGCCAUAAUCCAAAGGGAAGAAGUAAGGAAGAAAGUCAUGAAUCAAGAGACUAAAGACAACGUUUCUGAGACUAGGGCUUAUGUCUCUAGCAACAAACGUCCUGAAAGCAAAGUUUACAAGGGAAAAAGACCAGAUUUAAAGUGCAGCUACUGUGAUUCUCUUGGCCAUAUAAAAGACAGAUGUUGGAUUCUUCAUCCAAAAUUGAAGCCUAAGUUCUCGAAGGAGACAAAAGGUCCAGAGAUAAAGGGUACACAAAAAUAUCUAAACAAUAAUAGCUACAAGGCUAACCAUGCAGCUACCUUGUCGACAGAAGGAAUGGUAAAUUUCACUACCAAUCCUGCUGCAUUAAUCAAUGAUUUUGCAGCAUAUCUCCACAGCAAACAAGUGCUUAACAAUAGAGAUGAAGCUCCCGUAGCUGAAGAGAAGAAUCACACAGCUUUACUUGGAAAAUUUGCUGGUUUUCUGGCUAAACAUGAUCAUGUUUCACAGAAAGAUAUCCCAGGUAUUUUCAGUGCCUUCUCUACUGCCCUAAAUGCUAGUAAUGAACAUGAUUAUUGGAUCAUUGACUCAGGAGCCACGGAUCACAUGACAAAUAAAAUUAAUAACUUACAUGAUUUUACAAAAAUGACAAAUUUUUCUCAAGUGUCCGUAGCUAAUGGGAAGGGUGCCACAUUUGUAGGAAAAGGAAAAAUCAACUUAUUGUCAAAACACAUAGAGUCAGCAGCCCUUUACAUACCUUCUUUUCCUUUUCAACUUCUAUCAGUAGGAGCUAUCACCAAUUCUCUAAACUGUCUAGUCAUUUUCUCCCCUCACAAUGUCAUUUUUCAGGAUAUCAUCACCAAGAGAACGAUUGGUGAAGGUUUCUUGUUGAAUGGGCUUUACUACUUGGCUAAAGACACUAAUAAUCCCAAGUUUUUUCAAGUCAGUUCAAGUGUUUUUCAAGAUCAACAACUUUGGCAUCAACGUUUGGCACAUCCUUCUGAUAAAGUAAUGUCUUUUUUGUUUCCAAAAAUAUGUAAGGACAAGUUAAAGUGUGAUGUUUGUCACUUGUCUAAAUUUUCUAGGUUGCCUUUUGAUUCUUCCACUUCUAGAGCUAGCCAUCCUUUCGAAAUCAUUCAUUCAGACAUUUGGGGUCCAAUACUAGAGUCAUUUGAUGGAUAUAAAUACUUUGUAACCUUUGUUGAUGAUUUUACAAGGAUGACUUGGUUGUAUCUUUUGAAAUUUAAGAGUGAACUUUCAAAUGUUUUUCAAGAUUUUCACAAACUGGUUGGUAUUCAAUUUGCAUAAAAAAUUCAUAUAUUAAGAUCCGACAAUGGCACUGAAUACAUGUCCCAUAACAUGUCUCAAUAUCUUAGUAUUCAUGGAAUACUGCACCAAACUACAUGUGUUGGCACACCCCAACAAAAUAGGAUUGCUGAGAGAAAGAAUAAAGACCUUCUUGAGAAGACAAGAUCAAUCAUGUUUCAUAUGAAUGUGCCAAAGAAAUUUUGGUCACAAGGAGUACUUACAACUGCCUACCUAAUCAAUAGAUUGCCUAGUAAAGUACUCAGUUUCAAGUCUCCAUAUGAAGUGUUGAAGGACAGACCGAAUGAUCUCUCACACUUGAGAGUUUUUGGGUCCACUUGCUUUGUUCACAACCAAUCUCUCCACCGUGAUAAACUGGAUCCUCGAGCAACCAAAUGUGUUUUCUUUGGCUACUCAUCUACCCAAAAGGGCUACAAGUGUUACAAUCCAAUCACAAAGAAAAUAAUGGUUUCAAGGGAUGUGAGAUUUGAUGAAAACAUGCCCUACUUCUCCAAGAAACUAAGUGAUACAGAUCAGGGGGAGUUUUUGAGUGACAUGUUUCCAUUAUCUAGUGUUCCCCUCUAUCAAGAAAGUCCCAUUUCAUGUAACCCACCAACUCUAUUGCAUGAGAUACCUUCAUCUCAAACCACAGAUAUUGAACCUUAAGUUCCAAUUCGUCGAAACCCUUCUAGGGUUCAACAGCCUCCAAUUUGACUACAUGAUUAUGUCACCUACACUUCUAGGUAUCCUCCUACAAACUUUGUUUCCUAUAAGUAGUUUUCCCCCUCUCAUACUUCUUUUCUUAGUACCUUGGACAAUACUCAUAAACCACAAACAUUUCAAGAAGCAAAUGAACUUGAAAUCUGGCAAAAAGCGAUGAGGGAUGAACUGCAAGCUCUUCAUGACAACCGAACCUGGAGUGUAGUUAAACUUCUCGAAGGGAAGAAAUCGGUUGGCAGCCGUUGGGUGUACAAGACUAAGUUCAACUCAGAUGGGACGAUUGAAAGGCACAAAGCUCGUUUGGUGGCUCGUGGAUUUACCCAGACUUAUGGCUUGAAUUACAAGGAAACAUUUGCUCCCGUAGCCAAAAUGAACACUGUAAGGGUUAUAUUAUCAGUUAUCGUUAAUAAGUCUUGGCCUCUUUAUCAAACGGAUGUGAAGAAUGCUUUUUGCAUGGGGAAUUAGAGGAGGAAGUGUACAUGAAACUACCACCCGAACAUCCUCAAUCAGAUGACCCUGACAUGGUUUGUAAACUGCACAAAUCUACUUAUGGAUUGAAACAGUCUCCACGUGCAUGGUAUGCAAAACUGAGCUCCAUUCUUGAAAAGUUUGGCUUUCAAAGAAGUAGUGCUGAUUCCUCACUAUUUGUUCGUGAUGGCUUAGUUGGAAAAGUAAUCGUUUUAAUCUACGUUGAUGAUCUUAUAGUGACAGGUGACAAUGCUGAAGAAAUUCACUUUCUUAAGCUUACUCUGCAAAACAAAUUGGCAAUCAAAGAUUUGGGACGUCUCAAAUAUUUCCUUGGUAUUGAGCUUGCAAAUUCACAUGAAGGCUUCUUUCUCAAUCAAAGGAAAUACAUUCUUGAUCUUUUGAAAGACUCUGACUUAAUAGAUAGUAAACAUGCACGUACUCCUUUGGAUAGCAAGCUACAACUUAGUACUCACAGUGAAGCUUUCUUUGAUAUUACUAAGUAUCAAAGACUUGUAGGAAAGCUUAUUUAUCUCACAAUCACGCGUCUUGAUAUCUCUUAUGUCGUGAGUAUUGUGAGUCAAUUUAUGCAUGCUCCUACAUUAGCUCAUAUGCAAAUUGUGAAGAGAAUUCUUCGUUAUCUAAAAGGGUCUAUUUGUCGAGGACUCCUUAUGACAAAAAAUGAUAGCACUGCCAUCAUGGGAUAUACAGAUGCUGAUUGGGCUGGGAAUUCUCUUGAUCGUAAGUCAACAACAGGUUUUUGCACCUUUGUAGGUGGCAAUUUGGUAACAUGGCGCAGUAAGAAGCAAACUGUGGUAGCUCGAUCCAAUGCAGAGGCCGAGUAUCGAGCUAUGGCCUCCACUGCGUGUGAACUUAUUUGGCUGAAAAGCCUUCUGUUGGAUCUAGGCUUUCCCAGCAAUGAACCUAUGUCUAUGUUCUGUGACAAUCAAGCUGCCAUGCACAUUGCUUCCAAUCCGGUCUUCCAUGAGAGAACAAAGCAUAUUGAAGUGGAUUGUCAUUAUGUUCGAGCACAAGUUCAAUCCAAAAUCAUAACCACCUACUAUACUCACAGUCAUGAUCAGUUGGCUGACAUUUUUACCAAAUCUCUUCCUACGGUUCCGUUUCUAUGCAUUAUGUCCAAGCUUGGCUCAAGGGAUCCCCUAGAUCUAGCUUGAGGGGGAGUGUUGGAAGAAUAAUGUUGUUGGAAGAAUAAUGCAAGCUUUAACAGCUCAACUUAGGGAGCUUUCGGCUAGUCUUAGUGCUAGUGUUAGCUGUUAUUCCCUCAUCAUUGUAAAGUUAGUUAGUGAGAGUGGAGGUCAUCAUCAUGCUUGCUUAGCUGCCAUUAUUCUCUACCUAUUGUCCUCUAUUCUUCUUUCCCAUUUCUUCUUCUAUAUAUGUUUGAUCUUGUAACUGUUUUAUACAUGAAAUAUACAUCAAAAAUUCAAUAAUCUAUAUAUUUUAUGGCCAGGCUCAGAAGAAAAUCACAAAGCUUUCUCUCAUUUUUUGAAGUCAACUGAAAUUUCCAUUGUUGCUUAAUUUUGUCAUUAAGAAACUUUUAAUUAUGGGUUUCCAGUUGCCGGGCACUGUUCAUGCUAAGAAAUUCCAAAUUUCGGCGUUGGAAUUCCUAAAUGAGAACUAUAAUGUAUUAUUAUUUUUUAGGAAUAAUUAGUAUCCGGUCCCUAGUUACUAAUGUUCAUUGACUGAAAUCUUAUUAGUUUUCAGAUUUUGAUCCAAAUCCCUACCAUUAAUGUAUUAAUGAAUUUACAUGUCAAUUAUAUAAUUGUUUAAAAUAAAAAUUAAUAAUUGAUUUAGGAUUUUAAUACUCCUACCUUUAUUAAACUCCUAACUAAUUUUUAAUCCAAAACAUUUCCAAAAUAAAUAAAAAAUUAGAAUAAGUUUGUACCCAUUAGCUUUUUAAAAAAUGUUUUCAAUUUUUUAAUCUUAUAUGUACCCAUUCAUGUAAUUUUUUCAAAUUUUUAAUCUUAAAAUGUACCCAUUCUUAAAUAUAUCAAUUUGUUAUAUGUAAAAUGUACCAUUUUUUGCUAGCAAAAAAAAUGUAUUCAGGUUUAAACUUAUAUGGGUACAUUUUUAGCUAGUAAAUUUUUUUUUCAAACUUAUAUGGGUACAUUCUUUUUCUUUGAUUUGAGAAUGUAAUCAUGUUAAGUUUCAUCGAAGAAAUUUAAUAAUGUUAUUAAGUCUAAUAUCUAAUUUUUUUUGUGGUUUUGAAGAACGUACCCAUGUUUUGGUUCACUAAUUUUUUUGUUAAUUUUUAUGAAUGUACUCAUGUUUUUACACACACACACACACACAAUAGUAUAAUUUAUAUUUUAAUAUUUUUCAUCCCAUAAAUUAUGGGUUUUGAUUUAAAAUCUCAUUAACAUAAACAACUAUAAAUUUCAAUUUUUAAUUUAAAAAAAUAUAGUAACAUAAAUAGAAAUAAAUUAUCACAUUUAUUUCAAGGACGUAGAUCAAAAAUUGAAAACCAACAAGAUUUCAAUAAAAAAAUAUUGAUAGAUAGGGACCUCAUCCAAAGUCUCCCUAUUUUUUAUUCUGCUGGUUAUCUUAUAUAUCUUAUGUUUGGGUUCUAGUGAACUCUUAUGUAUCCUACAUCUUUCUAUCACCUAUUAAUUUUUGGGUGUAUCUCAGGAUCGGGACGUGACACCUCAACCGUGAUAAAUCGAAUGUAUAAUUAAGGAGAGAUUUGUUAGCCUAUGACCUUGUAUGCACCCGCUAUUGAUUCAGUACUUUGUAUCCAUACAAUCUCUGUUAAGUAGUAACAUCCAUCUAGUAAGGCUAGCUAAGUUGUCUAGCUAAAGCAGUGAGCUCCUAAAUGCUUCGAUGUAAUUAGGAAUGAAACCAUGUAAUUAUAAGUUGUAAAUCCCGAUUUGAGAUUUUCAACAAAAACAUGGUACAUCACAAUUCCAAAAAUUGUAAAACUGAGCUGUUAUUUUCACGGCAAAAUAGUAUUUCCCUUGUAAAAAUGCUGUGAUCAUUUACUGAAUUAUUACUGCAACUUUUAUGUACAUCAGAGCCUAACAUCCUUAUCCACAUUUAUAAUCUUUAUUCACAUCAUCCUUCAGAGAGUACAUUUCGCACUCACAAAAGGGAAAAGUAUUUGUACAGUAUGAAGAAAAAUUCUUGCUUUACAAAAAUGUGACUCAACUCGUAAUCACAAUGAAUUCAUAACUGAGAAAUAAUAUCAAUGAAGGUAUCUUGUCUGCAGGGAAUUGUUAGACCACCCAUUGGAUGAUCAAAUCCAAAUUCUUGUUCAGCCUCACUUAGCAAGUCUUGGAAUGAAAGUUGGUUGAGGUAUGAUACAGGAAUGACAAACCGCUGUCUCUCGCUCUCCCCAACAUAAACCGCUAAUAACCUUUUGGGACAUCUGCUAAAUUAUGUGAACCACCUCGACUUGAAUUUGAAAAAGACCGCCGAAGAAUUUUCUUUGCAUGAGUUACACUUGGACGACGGAAACCCAUGAUUUUAUGUCUUUCUGGAGAAAUGUCCGGUGCAAGUUUAUUGGAGAAAGAAGAAGAGAAGAGUUGAGAAUAUUCAGAGGCUUGAAUGAAUAAUGGCAAUGAAAGUCUCAUGAAAUAAAUAUAGUUAAAGUUUUAUGUAGGAUUUGUCCUCUGUUGAAAGAAAUAUGUGGUGACAAUUAAG
RNAcentral lists this long non-coding RNA (59960 nucleotides) under Malus domestica (apple). RNAcentral's name for it is "long non-coding RNA (MDOM_LNC009119)". Lineage: Eukaryota; Viridiplantae; Streptophyta; Magnoliopsida; Rosales; Rosaceae. The record is from RNAcentral.